UAGUGGGAAGCUGCAAGCUUCACGUGCUCAACUUUGGCAGAGAACUUUGGCAAAGUUAUCUGUGAUACACCAUGAGCUACUAUUGCGUGUGGGAAGUGGGUGAUUGAACAGUAAGACUCAUGUGCUUUCUACUUCACCAGAAGUCUUCGACAGAAUGCCCAUAAUUUCCGCAAAGCUGAGUGUGCGUGUGACAGGUGCUGCCAAGGCUGGAAAAGUAGGUGCCUCUUCGAUUUCUGAGAUCGGCCCUCGUGGUCUCUGAGCAGCCCAACUUUUGAGAAAGCAAGCGCCUCUUCGAUUUCUGAGAUCGGCCUUCGUGGUCUUUGAGCAGCCCAACUUUUGAGAAAGCAGACGCCUCUUCGAUUUCUGAGAUCGACCCUCGUGGUCUCUGAGCAGCCCAGCUUUUGAGAAAGCAAACGCCUCUUCGAUUUCUGAGCAGGCGCCUCUUCGAUUUCUGAAGCUCCGUCGAGUGCAGAUUUUUAUAGGGGCUGGCAUUAAGUUCCAAAGCACACUUGAAUCUCCACCAGUAGAAGCUCCAUUCUUGCACUUCUAAGAUCUUGAUUUGUUCCGACCUCUUCUCUCUUCAACACCUUUGAAAAUGUCUGGCCCCUCCGACCGUCGUUUUGACUUUGAACCUUGUUGAAGAGGCAGCCCCGCCUUCUCCAGACAACAUAUGGCGCCCAUCCUUCGUCUCCCCUACUGGUCCUCUUACCGUUGGGGAUUCCGUGAUGAAGAAUGAUAUGACCGCUGCGGUGGUGGCCAGGAACCUUCUCACUCCCAAAGAUAACAGACUACUUUCCAAACGGUCUGAUGAGUUAGCUGUUAAGGAUUCUCUGGCUCUCAGUGUUCAGUGUGCAGGUUCUGUGUCUAAUAUGGCCCAACGCCUAUUUGCUCGAACCCGCCAAGUUGAAUCAUUGGCGGCUGAAGUGAUGAGUCUCAAACAGGAGAUUAGAGGGCUCAAGCAUGAGAAUAAACAGUUGCACCGUCUCGCACAUGACUAUGCUACAAACAUGAAGAGGAAGCUUGGACCAGAUGAAGGAAUCUGAUGGUCAGGUUUUACUUGAUCAUCAGAGAUUUGUGGGUUUGUUCCAAAGGCAUUUAUUGCCUUCGUCUUCUGGGGCUGUACCGCGUAAUGAAGCUCCAAAUGAUCAACCUCUGAUGCCUCCUCCUUCUAGGGUUCUGUCCAGUACUGAGGCUCCGAAUGAUCCCCCUCCGGUGCCUUCUCUUUCUGGGGCUCUACCGACUGCUGAGACUUCUCCUAAGCAACCUUUGUGAAGGCUCCCUCUUGUUUGUUUAUUUUGACUCAUGUAUAUGUACAUAUUUGUAGCUUAUCGGGGAUAUCAAUAAAUAAGCUUUCCUUCAUUUCAACGUAUUGUGUUAAAUACACCAAAGCCUUCUUCGCUAAGUUCUUUGAAUUUUCUUUUUGUUGGAGCUUUGUGAGUGGAGCAUGUAGGUUGAGGUAGUGUUCCCUUAAUUUCCUGAGUGAGGAAAACUUCUCGGUUGGAGACUUGGAAAAUCCAAGUCACUGAGUGGGAUCGGCUACAUGAAUCUUAGAACGCCAUUGUGCUCGGUCCUGUGUCAUGUCCUUCGUUAGAUCCAAGUACUCUAAGUCUUUUCUUAGAGUCUCUUCCAAAGUUUUCCUAGGUCUUCCUCUACCCCUUCGGCCCUGAACCUCUGUCCCAUAGUCGCAUCUUCUAAUCGGAGCGUCAGUAGGCCUUCUUUGCACAUGUCCAAACCACCGUAACCGAUUUUCUCUCAUCUUUCCUUCAAUUUCGGCUACUCCUACUUUACCCCGGAUAUCCUCAUUCCUAAUCUUAUCAUUUCUCGUGUGCCCACACACAUCCAACGAAGCAUCCUCAUCUCCGCUACACCCAUUUUGUGUACGUGUUGAUGCUUCACCGCCCAACAUUCUGUGCCAUACAGCAUCGCCGGCCUUAUUGCCGUCCUAUAAAAUUUUCCCUUGAGCUUCAGUGGCAUACGGCGGUCACACAACACGCCGGAUGCACUCUUCCACUUCAUCCAUCCAGCUUGUAUUCUAUGGUUGAGAUCUCCAUCUAAUUCUCCGUUCUUUUGCAAGAUAGAUCCUAGGUAACGAAAACGAUCGCUCUUUGGUAUUUCUUGAUCACCGAUCCUCACCCCUAACUCGUUUUGGCCUCCAUUUGCACUGAACUUGCACUCCAUAUAUUCUGUCUUUGAUCGGCUUAGGCGAAGACCUUUAGAUUCCAACACUUCUUUCCAAAGGUUAAGCUUUGCAUUUACCCCUUCCUGAGUUUCAUCUAUCAACACUAUAUCGUCUGCGAAAAGCAUACACCAAGGAAUAUCAUCUUGAAUAUGUCCUGUUAACUCAUCCAUUACCAACGCAAAAAAGGUAAGGACUUAAGGAUGAGCCUUGAUGUAAUCCUACAGUUAUGGGAAAGCUUUCAGUUUGUCCUUCAUGAGUUCUUACGGCAGUCUUUGCUCCUUCAUACAUAUCCUUUAUAGCUUGGAUAUAUGCUACUCGUACUCCUUUCUUCUCUAAAAUCCUCCAAAGAAUGUCUCUUGGGACCCUAUCGUACGCUUUCUCCAAAUCUAUAAAGACCAUGUGUAAAUCCUUUUUCCCAUCUCUAUAUCUUUCCAUCAAUCUUCGUAAGAGAUAGAUUGCCUCCAUGGUUGAGCGCCCUGGCAUGAACCCGAAUUGGUUGUCCGAAACCCGUGUCUCUUGCCUCAAUCUAUGCUCAAUGACUCUCUCCCAGAGCUUCAUUGUAUGACUCCAAAUAUCACUUGUAUAAAAAUAAAAAUACAAAAUAAAAUAAAAUUAAAAAAAAAAGAAAAAAAAAAGAAAGAGACAGUUUGUUUCCAGGUUGUGGAUAUUCCAUUAAGUGAACAAUCAAUCUCACCAGACUGAAUCAAUAAUUCAUCAAGGUCAUGAAACAUAAUGGAAAAUUAAAAUUAUUAAACCAUGUGUGGAUGUCCUAUAUGCCUAUAUGCAUCAGGCAACGUAAACAAAAAUUUAUCUCAGAAAUCCAUAGAAGUUAAAAAAGGAAAUGGGAAAAAAGUUACAGAAGUAGUUUCAAGUUGAUGUGCCGCAGAUCCUUCCAGCUUUGCAGGGUAAUCCAAGUCUUCAUCCAGAGGAAAAUAAUUUGCUAUCUGGAAAAAAAACAAGAGAGAGGUUUUAAGACAUUUAAAAAGGAAAAAGUGGUAGCUAGUCAAGAAAACAAGAUUAACUGGAAAAUUAAGAAAAAAAGGUAACAACUCAACAAACAAUGAGAACUCUCAGGAAUAGAAGUCACCUCAUCACGAAUAUGUGUUCGAGCACGGAAAGUUAACCGCUCAUGAACAUCGGCAAGAAUUCUCUCUAAUGUAGGACGUAGACCAGCUAAUGAUUCAGUCCUCCGACUUAACUGUUCACCUAGGACUUCAGCUUUCAAUAUAUCAACAAGUUCACAAAGAAAAUCAACAUUUGUUUCAUGAAUAAGUUUUGGCCGCAGUGUAUCAUAUAAAUAUGUAGACCUGCAUGAAUUAUCACCAAAAGGAGGUUAUUAUAUAGUUUAAAGUGUGCAUAAACCAAUCAACCAGCCAACCUCCAUACUACAAUGUAACAGCUUAACAAGGAAUGAAGUGGAAAGGACCAAACCAAUCAAGCUUCAUUCACUUUUGGCACAUGUAGUUUAAAAGAGAUUGCCUAACCCAUUAUUACAUGUCAGCCUCUCAAGAAAGCAGAAAACGAGAGAAAAGAACUGAAAACAAAAAAUAUAAUGGGACCUACAUAGGAUCUAUCAAUGGAGCCAAACUUGAAACGUCCUCUGCAGAAGAUGGAAAAAAAUGAACAAAAAGUUGGUGCUCUAGCUGGCAGACCUGCAAUAAAUAGUGGUUUCAAUUACAAUGGAAACUUUGCUGUCCUACAACAUAAAUGUUCACAAUGUAUGCAGCUCAAAUUCAUACAUGAGAAUAAGUUGCAUAUCACAUUACAUCAAGCAUCAAAGAUACUGCCCGCUAUCAUUAAAGAGGUCAGGGCCAAUCACCCCAUCCUCACCUUAUAUUCAAUGAUAGACAAAUCUUUCGCUUGUAUUUGUUUUUAAGGAGUCUUUCCUCAAUGAACGUCCUUGCAACAUUUAUAUCUUACCUGCAUUAGAUAUGCACAUCCAGAUCUAGUCAGUGAUGGCAAGGCCUCUUUCUUCGCGAAUUCGGAUAUUCGUUGAUGUACUAUACCUCUUACCUGAAAAUGCAUUAAAAAGGUGGAUUGAUUACAAGUCAUAAAAUGAAGGAAUGAAUUAGUACGGUAAACAACUAAUGAUCCUUUUCAAAAUAAAAAAAAUUUCAUCAGCUCACCAACGAAAGUCUCUGUUCACAGUAUAGUUUGUGGCAUUCUGUAAGGAUCUGAGUAUAUUCUUUCCUUGAUGCUCUGCUUUCAAUUUCCUCCAGCACUGGCUUAAGCUGCAAGGACUCUACUUGUUAGACAUCAAAACAAACAAGUGUGAAGUUAAAAACCAAAAGAACAGCGUUGCACACCAGCAUUCAAAAAGUAGGGUAGAACUUAAAAUGUUUUCCAGACACAUCUUGCUUUCAACUUUUCACACCCUGGCUGGUUAAAUGCAUUAAUCAAAUUAAUAGCAUCAUUAAUGUUACCUCACUUGCUGCUGCCUUGAAACGGACAUAUAUAACCGAUGCUUCUACACCCUCAGAAACAGAUGUGUUAUUGCCACCACUGCUCCGGAUAGCUGCUUGUACCUGAUGCAAGACAGUGUCCAUAAUUCAAAGCCAAGUAAUAUACAUUAAUGCAUAUUAAGACAGAAGUCUACUACGACGUGUUAAUGGUAAUUCAGUUCAACAAGUUAACAUUACCUGAGAAGAAGCACCUUUGAGAACUGAAAGUACAUGAGAACGAAUCAUUCCCAAGGCUCGAGACUGUACAAAACAAGUAAAUUAUAUAUUAUUGAAGGUCAAAUUAAUCUUACUGGAAGACAAUCUCUGUUCUAUACUAUUCACCUAAUCAACGCUCUUGCAAAUUAUACCUGCAAUUGUCGAAAUUUGAGCAGGUAAACACUGGAUUCUGCAUACUGUGGAUUGCUUUCGACGUACCUAAAGUAUGCACAAAUUGUUUGAAACCAGUAAGUUCUAUCCAACAAAUAUAUCUUUAUCAAAUGCUUAAUGCUUCCUAGUAUGAAUUACAAACUUCCAAGGAUUUUAACUGAAUAGUGUCUGAAGCAUAGAAUUGCACACAGUUACUAACAAAGAAGGUAGAGAACUUACGAUAUGCACUCAUCAAGGCGUUUGAGAAGAGGGAGAAAGUUCUCGUGCAGAACAUUCAUGUUUGGAGAAUAAAAAUUGGUAGUAAUCUGCACACAGUUGAAAAAUUAAACAUGAAUUAUAUAUAACAUACUAAUAGGAUGAAUAUAUAAAUAUAUUAAGUGGUUUGUAUUACAUACACAAUUUGUGCAUCGUGAUAUUUUCUCACGCAUCCGAACAAAAAAAAGAAGGUAACAUCCUUGGCACAAAGCUUCAAAGUAUAUUAACUUCAAUGUAACACUAAGUAAUGCCUGAUAAGGAGAAUUCAUACUAAGGAGAAACUGACUCAGGCAGAUUUUUUAAAACUUAAAAAGCUUUGGAAAAAGAAUCAAUUAAAUUGUUAGUUCAAAAAUAAAAGUUUAUCCAAGCUGCUAUGCAUACCACAUAUAUUUAACAAAACCACAACGUCAGCAAACAAAAUAUCUCUAGGUAAGGUAGAUUCAAACCUUACAUUCUCCAAUUCAUCAAAGUAGUUGAGCUUACUACGGAGUGCUUCUGAAAACUCAAUCAGCCGUUGUUUCUCUAUUAACUGCAAAUGAAAAAUGAGGAGACAUCAAGUUUUAAAUAUGUUUCCAGGCCCCCACAACCAUGAAUUAAACUGACACCAAGAAAGUGGACGAAAUAAAAGGGGUAACAUUAGAAAGAAAGUCCCACCAGUCUAUCGCAAGCAUCGUGAAGAGUUCUAGUCUUUGUUGCUACUGCUUGAUGCUGGUUCUGUAGUUCAUUAAACAACUCUAGGGUGUCAGCCACCUGCACAGAAAGGAACCAACUAUUUCAAACAAGCACAACAACUUAAAACAAAGAUGGCUUCAACGAUACCGAUAGACAUAUCGCCAUUACCUGACCGAGUAUGCCAUCACAUGUCUGAAUGCGUUCUGUCAAAGUGUCUACAUAGUGUCGAUACUUCUCCUCUGUCUAAAAUGUGAAAAAUUUAUGUGCAAUGAGCUUAUAUUUACACUUAAUUACAACAUAAGUUUGCUGCAAGAAUCGAUUACCAACCUCCGACUUCAAUGCUGCUUCAAGAUCUGUAAACCAUUUGUAAAACUACAAGUAGCAAAAGCUAAUUCAGUGAGAAAGCCAUCGAAUUGUAAUAGAUAACGGAAUGUGAUGGCGAAAAUGUACCUGAUUCGUAUUGACAAGAACAGCUUCAAUGGCAGCGGAGUGUUCCAAGCCGAAAGUGCUGUCCUUGGUGGAGACAGUUAGGCCAUUCUGGUGGCCUGUGGUGCCGUCCUGAGCCAAAUUGGGUGGGAACGGCCGCUCUGCAACGCAAUGCGAGAGCGUUGUAAUGGCCGCUUGCUGCUGCUCUGAUAACGGAGUUUUCUGCAGAGGAAAGAAAGCAAUACAUCAAAAUUCAUAUCGAGAGGAUCCGAUCCGAUCCGAAAGCAAGCUAAUUGCAAUAAAGUGGAGAAAAUUGCAGAAAACUCAGAUGUAGACGAAAAAGGAGUUGUUUCAAUGGAAAAACUGAAUCUAGGGCAACGAGGAGGAGAAAGAAAAAGAAGAAGAAGCACCUGUUCCCAGUGAGAUGCGAAGUUGUAGCCCUUGGAAAUGGCUCCAGAUUUCGGAACGCCGGGUUUGGUUGCCGCCAUUUCUCAAUCCUCUUCAACUCACAACAAAGUCGGUUCAUACAACGGUUGCAGUCGCCGUCGUCGUCAUCCACAAUUCGCCUCCUCUCCUCCGCCCUCUUUUCUCUCAGUCGAGUUUUUUCUCAGUCCUUCGCUCUCUCUUUCAACGAUAAAGAUUUAAACGCAAAGCAUUUAUGUUGGGUAGAACAAGACGACGUCGUCUUCGAGUUGGAAACAGUUGGUGCGAGCUCGCUUGUUUUUUUUGUCCGUCCCUUCACUUUUAUCCGCGUCAUUAUUUAAAGAUUAAAUUAUUUUACAUGUCAGCAUAUCGUAAUUUUAAAAUUGGAAAACAUAUUAUUAAUUUUUAAUAUUUUUUAAAAAAUAUUUUUCAUAUAUUUUAUUUUUAAUUUGUAUCCAUUUUUUAAGUCUGACUAAUAUUCUUUUUAGUUUUAACUAGAUAAAAUGCUCGCGCGUUGCUGCGGGACUUGAAUGCACGAAUCUUAACCACAUGAAUUAAACACAUGUAACUUGAAAAAAAAUUCAACAUAAUCAUGAACGAAAAAAAAAAGAUAGAUGAGUGAACGGUAUCAGUAAGAUAAGUAGUUCCGCUUUUACAUACAUUCAACCAAGCUGAUUACAAAAGAUAUGAUUGGAAAAAAUGCUCUGUUUCCUAACAAACAGGAGCAACAUGCAUUUAACACAUAUAGGGCACGUUUGUUUGACAGGAUUCGCUGGGACUGGACUGGACUAGACUAUAGUCCAGUGUUUGGUGGGUACCGGGAUUAGCUUUAAUGAGCUUAGGUGGGAUUCGCUAGGACUAAGGGGGGGCUUAGCCGUUCUUCACGAGGGAUCCCAAAUUCGGGCGGACUCGUAAGCCAGAGAAACCGCGUCUUCCCACAUCUCACAUCCCACAUCGUCCUCAUCUCUGCGUCUGCCCUCGUCGUCGUCCUUGCCGUGCUCCCACAUCGUCCUCACGCUCAUCGUCGUCCUUGCAUCUGGUCGCUGUCAUCUGCCUCUAGUCGGUAAGCUUCGAAUCUUGGAUUUUUUUUCGUCGAUUUGUGUGGAUUUGUUUGUGAUAUUAACUGAGGUUUAUUUGAUUUUGUUGUUUUGGGUUUGAGAAAUUCAUAAUAUACAAGUGGAUUUGCAAUUGAACAAAUUAGGGUUUUGUUAUUUAGGUGAAAUUGAGAUUAGAAUUUGGGGUUUUCAUAAGAUGAAAUUGAGAUUAGUCUCAGGUGUAUGCUCUCUGUGUGUGUGUUUUGUGUGUUACUGAAAAAAAAUUUGUCUGUGUGUUUUGUGUGUGUGUGUGAGUGUGUUUGUGUGUGUGUGUGUGUAUGUAAUCUGUGUAACCUGUGUAAUAUCUGUGUGUGUGUGAGUUGUGUGUGUAAAAUGUGUGUGUAAUCUAUCCGUGUGUGUGUGUGUAACCUGUGUUAUUUGCAGUGUGUGUGUGUGAGUUGUGUGUGUAAAAUGUGUGUGUAAUAUGUCCGUGUGUGUGUGUGUAAUCUGUUUUUGUGUGUAUGUGUGUGAGUUGUGUGUGUAAAAUGUGUGUGUGAGUUGUGUGUGUAAAAUGUGUGUGUGAGUGUGAGUGUGAGUGUAAGUGUUUGUGUGUGUGUGUGUGUUUGUGUGUGAGUGUGAGUGUAAGUGUGAGUGUGAGUGUGUGUGAGUGUGAGUGUGUGUGCAGUGUGUGUGUGUAUGCAGUGUGUGUGUGUGUGCAGUGUGUGUGUGAGUGUGUAUGCAGUUUGUGUGUGUGUGUGUGCAGUGUGUGUGUGAGUGUGUAUGCAGUGUGUGAGUGUGAGUGUGUGUGAGUGUGAGUGUGUGUGCAGUGUGUGUGUGUAUGUAGUGUGUGUGUGUGUGCAGUUUGUGUGUGUGUGCAGUUUGUGUGUGUAUGCAGUGUGUGUGUGUGCAGUUUGUGUGUGUGUGCAAUUUGUGUGUGUAUGCAGUGUGUGUGUGCAGUUUGUGUGUGUGUGUAUGUGUGUGUCCAGUGUGUGUGUGUGUGUGACUGUGUUCAGUGUGUAUGCAGUGUGUGUGUGCAGUUUGUGUGUGUGUGUGUAUGUAUGUAGUAUGUAUGCAGUGUGUGUGUGUAUGUAUGCAGUAUGUAUGCAGUGUGUGUGUAAGUGUGAGUGUGAGUGUGAGUGUGAGUGUGAGUGUGAGUGUAAGUGUGCAGUGUGUGUGUGUGUUUGUGUGUGAGUGUGAGUGUAAGUGUGAGUGUGAGUGUGUGUGAGUGUGAGUGUGUGUGCAGUGUGUGUGUGUGUGUAUGCAGUGUGUGUGUGUGUGUGUGUGCAGUGUGUGUGUGUGAGUGUGUAUGCAGUUUGUGUGUGUGUGUGCAGUGUGUGUGUGAGUGUGUAUGUAGUGUGUGCAGUGUGUGUGUGUGUCUAUGCAGUGUGUGCAGUGUGUGUGUGUGCGCAGUGUGUGUGUGUGUGUGUAUGUAUGCAGUAUGUAUGCAGUGUGUGUGUGUGUGUGUGUGUGUGUGUGUGUGUGUGUGUGUGCAGUGUGUGUGUGUGUGUGCAGUGUGUGUGUAUGCAAGUAUGUAUGCAGUGUGUGUGUGUGAGUAUAAAAACAGAGUGUGUGUGUGAGGGUAAGAGUUUGUUGCACUCUGUCCCCGUGUGUGUGUGUGUGUCACUGUGUUCAGUGUGUGAGUGUGAGUGUGUGUGAGUGUGAGUGUGUGUGCAGUGUGUGUGUGUGUGUAUGUAGUGUGUGUGUGUGUGCAGUUUGUGUGUGUGUGCAGUUUGUGUGUGUAUGCAGUGUGUGUGUGUGCAGUUUGUGUGUGUGUGCAAUUUGUGUGUGUAUGCAGUGUGUGUGUGCAGUUUGUGUGUGUGUGUAUAUAUGCAGUGUGUGUAUGUGUGUGUCCAGUGUGUGUGUGUGUGUGACUGUGUUUAGUGUGUGAGUGUGAGUGUGUGUGUGUGUAUGCAGUGUGUGUGUGUGUGUGCAGUGUGUGUGUGAGUGUGUAUGCAGUUUGUGUGUGUGUGUGCAGUUUGUGUGUGAGUGUGUAUGCAAUGUGUGUGUGUCUAUGCAGUGUGUGCAGUGUGUGUGUGUCUAUGCAGUGUGUGCAGUGUGUGUGUGUGUGCGCAGUGUGUGUGUGUGUGUAUAUAUGCAGUGUGUGAGUGUGAGUGUGUGUGUGUGCAGUGUGUGUGUAAGUGUGAGUGUGUGUGUAUGUAUGCAGUGUGUGUGUGUGUAUGUAUGUAGUAUGUAUGCAGUGUAUGUGUAUGUAUGCAGUAUGUAUGCAGUGUGUGUAAGUGUGAGUGUGUGUGUAUGUAUGCAGUGGUGUGUGUGUAUAUGUAUGCAGUGUGUGUGUGUAUGCAGUAUGUAUGCAGUGUGUGUGUGUGUGCAGUGUGUGAGUGUGAGUGUGUGUGUGUGCAGUGUGUAUGCAGGGUGUGUGUGUAGUGUAUGCAGUGUGUGUGUAAGUGUAGUGUAUGUAGUGUGUGUGUGUGUUUGUGUACUGUGUAUGCAGUGUGUAUGUAUGCAGGGUGUAUGCAGGGUGUAUGCAGUGUGUGUAUGUAUGUAUGCACUGUGUGUGUACUUGCAGGGUGUGUGUGUGUAGUGUAUGCAGUGUAUGUGUGUAGUGUAUGUAGUGUGUGUAGUGUAUGCAGUGUAUGUAGUGUGUGUAUGUAUGUACUGUGUUUGCAGUGUGUAUGUAUGUACUGUGUAUACAAUGUGAAUGUUUUGUAUUGUGUGGGGUUGAUGCUGAAUUGCAAUUUGUUGUGGUUGUUGGUUGCAGAGAAGAGGAGCAUAAACGGAAGGCUAAGGCUAAGGCUACUGCAUUACAGGUGUCCUUUAAUUUCCCUUUUCACAUGCAAUGCCUAGCAAUGAUAGCAAUCCUCAUACUAGUGUUCUUAGACACAUGUUUAUAGAUGUAUAAGAGUAGAACAUUUUGAAUAUGAUGCCUCGGGUUAAUGAAAACUUUUUUUUUUUCAACGCCAUAUGUAUAUUUGUUGCCUCGGGUUAAUGAUUUAGUUAAUUUGUUUUUUUUGUUUUUUUUUUUGUUUGGAUAGAUAUGGAUCGAAGGAAGCUUUUAUUGAUCUUAUUGUUAGAGAUGUCUUAUUUGGAAACAAUUUGUAUUUGUACGAUUCUUGUGGUGAUGAUGCUACGUGGCAAACAGAGACAUGUUGAACGACCCACAUUGACUAACCGUUCACUUAUUAGACGAGAGAUUAGUUUGUGUUAUCUGAAUGGUAUAAUAGGGAAUACUGAUACUGAAUGUGUUAACGAAUUGAGAAUGGAUAGAAGGACUUUUGGCAUAUUAUGCGACUUACUUCGUCAAGAUGGGAGGGUAAAAACUGAUGGUUUGGUGUCUGUAGAGGAACAGGUGUGUAUGACUUUACAAAUAUUAGCACAUCAUACUAAGAAUCGUAGUGUUGGCGGUAGAUUUUAUAGGUCGGGAGAGACUAUAAGUAGGUAUUUCAAUAGCGUAUUGCAAGGAAUUUUGCGAUUACAAGGUUUCCUACUAAAAGUCCCACAGCCUGUGCCUAUUGAUUCUACAGAUGCUAGGUGGCGAUGUUUUAAGGUAUGAUGAGAAAUAUUUUUCAUUUUCCUUAAGCUUUAACUCUUCAUUCCCUUUGUAUAAAUUAACAAAAAGUUUUUUAUUUUUUAUUUUUAAGAAUUGCUUGGGAGCAUUGGAUGGAACACACAUUGAUGUGCAUGUACCUGAAAUUGACAAACCAAGAUACCGAACAAGAAAGGGUCGAGUCGCAACUAAUGUGUUAGGUGUGUGUUCAGGAGAUAUGCAGUUCAUAUAUGUGUUUCCGGGGUGGGAGGGUUCCGCAUCAGACUCUAGAGUGCUACAUGAUGCAAUUAGUAGGCCUAAUGGUUUUAAGGUACCAGCGGGUAAGAUUAUUACUUAGUCUCAACUUUCUAAGUUAGGUUUAGUUCUGUUUGUCAACUACAAAACACUAAUAAGGUCUGUUUUUUUUUUUUCAUUAGGUUGUUAUUACCUUGUAGAUGGUGGUUAUACAAAUGGUGAAGGAUUCCUUGCACCCUAUAGAGGAAUACCUUAUCAUUUAUCUGAAUGGGAGGGACGAACACCUUCUAAUAAGGAAGAAUAUUUUAACAUGAAGCAUUCUAAGGCAAGGAAUGUAAUUGAACGCUGUUUUGGCUUGCUAAAAAGGAAGGUGGUCGAUACUAAGGAGUCCAUCUUUCUAUCCGAUAAGGACACAAGGUCGAAUAAUUACCGCUUGUUGCCUACUACACAAUCUUAUUAGGCAAGAGAUGUUAGUAGAUCCAAUGGAGAAUUUGCCAAUAAUAGAAGAUGGACAAAAUACAGAAGAAGGUGAAUAUGUUGGUAGUGUUCAAUCAUCGGACCAGUGGACUGCAAUGAGGAAUGAUAUGGCUGAGGAAAUGUAUAAUGAGUGGAGAGCAAUUAGGAACCAGCAACCGAACUAGCUAUAUGUUUUAAUGAUAACAUUUUAUUUUAGUAUUCCUUUUUAUCAUGCAUUUGUUAGAUAUUAGCACAAUGAUUGGAUGGUAUGCAAAUUAAUUGGAUAUUAUGCAAGUUGAUUGGAUAUUAUGCAAGUUGAUUGGAUAUUAUGCAAAUUGAUUAUUUGUAUGGUAUUUUCCUUCAUUAAAAUAUUUUUUGUUUAGGUAUGGAUAACGAAAAUAUUUUGAAUGCUACUCAAGAGCCAAAAGGAAGAAGGCGUAAAUGGGAAGCAUUUGAGGAAGAAGUAUUACUAGGAGUUCUUGAGGAUUUUGUUGCUCGGAAGCAACGGUGUGACACCGGUGCUUUCAAACAAGGUACUUUGGUUGAAAUAGCAAAAGCUGUCAAUGUUUUAUGUCCUCAUUCAAAUAUAAAGGCAAAUCCACAUAUUGAGUCCAAGUUGAAGAAAUGGAAAAAAACAUAUAUAGUAUGGUCGUUGACAUGAUAAACACAAGUGGAUUUGCAUGGAAUGAUGUCAAAAAGUGCGUUGAAGUUGACAGUGAUGACGCAUGGCAAACUUAUGUGCAGGUUCAUAUCCUAUUUUAUUUAUGCAUUAGUUAUAUUCUUGCUCCUAUAUUUGUUACGCAUGCUAAAUUUUAGUUUUGCUAUGUUGAUAUAAUCUUAGAGAAAUAAAGAAGCCGAUGGAUGGAGAAGCAAACCUUUUCCACUGUUUGAUAGAUUUUGCAUAUAUAUUUGGAAAAGAUCGGGCUACGGGUAAUGUAGCCGAAACCCCUGCUCAAAUGGUGGAGGAACAAAGUCAUGAUCAUGUUGGUGAAAGUGAUAUUGGAGGUGAUAAUUUUGUUUCUUCAAUGAACCAACAAAGCCAACAAAGCACCCCAUCUGAAAAUAGCCAAAGAAAGAGAGGAAAAGAGCUGUGGGAAGUUCAAGUGAUGGAACCGAGGCAAUUAUCAGUGGACUGAAAGAUUUUUAUGUUGAAAGUGGGAAGAGGAUGCAAAUGGUAACUGAAGCUUUAGUUCAAGGUACUGCAGAUCAUACUGACAUAGCUAAUGAACUUGAAGCAAUGGGUCUCUCUCCUAUGGAUCAAAUUGAUGCAUUGUCUCUUAUUUUGGAUAAACCAAAAAAUGUGGGAGUGUUCAGGGCAAUCAAACCGGAACUCAAGAAAGUGUUCGUCCAAAGACUUUUAAGAGACAACGCAAGCGGAUGAGGAUUUUGGCUAAUGUUAACAUGGAUGUAUUUUAUUAACGUUAACAUGGAUGUAUUUUAUUAAUCAUACAGUCUUAUGUUAUGACUUAUAACUUAGCUUUGCACUAGUAUUUUGGCUUAUGUUUACUAGCCAUUUUGUAAAUUAUGGAGAGAUCUAUUUUGGCUAAUGUUAACUAAUGUUAACUAGGAUUUUCUAAAUUAUGGAGAUCUUAUGUACUUGUAUUUGUUGAAGUUGCAUGUAUUGGCCACUAUUAUUUUUCUUCUGUUGGGUGAUAGAGUUUAAAUCAAGCUACAUUUGCAAAUUAAACCCAAUUCUAUUAGCAGGUAAUAGAAACAAAACAAUUGUCAAUUUUUUUUAAGAUUCAUAAUAUACAUGGCAAAAAUAUGCUCCAAUUAACCCAUAUCAUGAGAUUUGUAGCAUUACUCUAUUACACAAUGACAAAAAUUUGUAGUCCUAGUCUAAGCAAACACAAAUCUGGUGAACAGUAUUGUUUUUCUUAUCCUGCUUCUUAGUCCGAGACUGCACCAAACGCUUCACUAAGUUAGUCCAGCUUAGUCCAGUCUAAGCCAGUCCAGCUUAGUCCCGGCAGCUAGUCCAGUCCGAGACAGUCCGGCGCAACAAACGCACCCAUAUUGGCCUUGAAGUUAAGAUGGAAAAAUAUAUGUUCUGCAGGCUAGCCUAGAUCCCAUCGAAAAACGCCCCAAAAAAUGCUAAACUUCUUCAUCCAACGGAACUUAUUCUUUCGGCAAAUUACUACGAUUUUCAGAUGAAUGGAUAGUGUGAACCACCAAUUUGUUUCGGUUUACACCUUUACCAUAAACAUGCAAACACAUCCUUGUUUUUUCUAUUUUCACUGUUUUCUUUGUAUUGGGUCCUGGAGCAGUUUCUCUAUAUAUCUUUUUGGUUCCUCGAUUAUUUUCAUUGUUUCGAGCCUCAAUCAGUUUCUUUAAAUUUUUAACCAAAACUCCUCCUAGAAUUUGUUGUUCGCUUCAAUCAAUAUCUUUCACCAUUUUAUCUACCCGGAAUCACAAAUAAAUAUAGUGUCAAUAUUUAUGUUUUUUAGAAAAAUAUGUUUAGCUUGUAGGUCUUAGAAUAACACAGUUAAAAUUUUUAAAAAUUGAAAUAUGGAAAUUGUGAUUUUUUUUGGAAAUAUGUCUGGUUUGUUGAGAGAUUGCAGUUGUUAACGGCACUUAUUAAAGCACUUCAGGGAGGAUGAGACAAUUGACUACCAGAAAAACCUAACAAAAACACCAACCAACCAAAGUAACUGACCUUCAAAGAACGAUUUGGAAAAUUUAGAACGCAAUAAAGAAAGGAAGCAACCAACAAAAAACGUAUAAAACGCCUAAUAACAUUUGAUAAACAAUUAAGAACACUGGGUUAAAUAAGAAUCACAAAGACACCAAGAGACUUUCAAACAAUAACAGAAUUGCAUAGACAAAAUUUAAACCAAAAAAAAGGAAAGAACUAUCGGACCUCUAGACAAUCAGAGAUCACGAAGUUAACCAAGAAUGAGAAACAAAGCAUAGAGCAAACAUAUAAUAUAAGCCAAAAAAAACCAAACAGUCAUUUUAAAAAUUAUAAACUCGCAUUGUUUGAAAUGGAAAGAGUGGGGAAACAACGUAUUGAAGUUCAGGACAUACCAAAGGCUUGAUUGAAACGUAAUGGCUUUGAACCCCUUCAUUAAAGGCAACAACAAGAGCAGAUUAUGAUUCUAUGAUGUGAGCCCGAUCUAAACUGCAAAAAAGAAGUGAGAUUGCAAUUAAGAAUUCGAAAUGCAAACAAACAGAUACAAUAAAAGUAACUUAAAUUGUGACGGUAUAACGGACUCAAUAUGUAAAAGUGCACCAAAUAAAGGGUAAUUCUCAAGACAUUAAACAUAAAAACUAAAACACCCCCAUCUCUUUGCAAAUUUUACAAACAAAAUAGUAAACGUAAUCCUUGAAAUCCAAACAGACCUAAUUUUGAAACCGUUUCUCUUGGACACCCCAUACCAUAGAAAAUGCACCCUAUACCCCAAACAUAAUGCUCAGUGGCUAGAUAGCAAUCUGUGCAGGUUGAUCAAGAUGUCACUAAUUAGUUUUUGCCAACAGAUGGUUAACCAUUUUGCCAUUUUUUUUUUUUUGCAGAAAGUGGACCAUGUUUAACUUUAAAAGAUGAUCUCUAUUUUACCUAGACAAAUUGCAUCACCAAUGUCUUGCCACACAUUCACAAAAAUUAGCAGUGCCGAUUGACAAAUGGACAGACCUGAAUGGUACUAACCGAAGCACAACAAUCCCUAAAGGAAAACAAACAACGAAAUGACUUCAAGAAAAAUCUGUAUCAUUUAUUCAAUGAAGCACCCUAAGUUGGAAAAGAGUAAAAUUUAAAUUGAAAAACAAUAAUCUAACAGAGACAAAUUUAAAAACAAAAAACCAUUAGAAUCUUUACAGAAAUCAAUAAAAAUGGCUGCAAGUUAAAAGUCUUAAAAUUUGAUAUAUGGCUAUAAAUUUUCCUAAUGUUUAUAAUAUCAAUUAAGAAUACACCAAAACUUAAUACACCGUUGUAACAUUUUGCAACUGCCUCACCUAUCUGAAAUGAAAUGAUAGGCUAUAAUGAAAUAAAAGCCCACCAAGUGCAAAUAGAAAUAAACCAUAUAGCUGGGUCUUGUACAUGGUUAGAUCCUUGGUCUCCAGGAAUUAUGCUAAAAGGAAGACUAAUCAAAUGAUUACGCUUAGAACUAUAACGUUAUUUCAAUUUUUAAAAACUAUUAACUGAUUGAAAAACCACACCAUAAAGAACCAGUGGAGAUCAGAAUAACAAUAAAAUACUACAGAGGUAAAUGAACAGCCAUUAAUAUAAUUUUUUUCCUCAGCAUGCCAACAACAAUCAGAAAAAGAAAAGGAGAAAAAUCUAUGGGAUAAAUGUAAAGUCUAUUUGAAAAGUUCAAUAUAUUUGUUUGUCAAACUCAGUGAUCAAACUUCACACUCAUGCUUUUCAAAAAGAAAAGAAAACGAAGAAGUGAAAUCAUUGACAAUUCCAAGAAAUAUAGCAGCUAUUAUUAAGAUCCAAAACGAAUUCUGGAAAGUAUGGGGACCAAAGACUAUUAGAAGUUGGAAAGAUAUGCCGAUGCAGUGGUUUGAGAACAUAGUUUGAGAAACUUUGGGUAGGAAAUAUGCUCGCAAGGAAAACCGACAAUGGGUGAGUAUGACUCUCAAAGCUGGUUUAUGUUUAAAUUACUGAAUCACCAUAAUCGUUGUUGGUUGGUUUUCACUCAUGGUCUACUUUUUAUUCAAGUUCUUGUAAAGAAAAUUAGUCUUUUAACCAAAUGCAUGCCAAUUACAAUUUUUCCUUUUUGGUAAAUAAUACCAACCACAUUUUAUCAUUACUAGAUUCAUAGUGCUUUGAUUAACUUUAUGGGGAGUAGAAUCUCAAUUCAAGCUAAGUAAAGCAAAACCCUCAAUUAAACCCCAACUACAAACCCGAAUUAAACCUUCAAUUAAACUCUUAAUAAAACCCAAAUUAAAUCAGCAAUCAGGAAAGAGAAAAAUACACCCAUUCAAAGUAUUGCAUAACUGAAAAAAACUAUAUUUAUGAGAAAGAUUAAAACCUUUUUACAAAAGACACCUACUGAAAAAGCUCACAUUUGUAAAGACUUGGAGCUCCUGACCUAACAGCACAACAAAAUCCGGAAAUAAUUCACAGCAAAAGGGAAGAAAUGAUGACAAUCUAUGCUAACAGUAGAGAAUCGAAUUAAAAAUUGAACUUAGCUAAAAAACACUUACCCUUCAACGUUCGGAGCCUUAGAAAAAUUUAUGAAGUUCACGCAAAUAUUUUUACGUCUCUAUGCACCUAUCCUGCAAACCAACGAAAAUAGAAAUGCAGAGAAGUGGGAAGACCAGAUGAAAUAAAACCCAAGCCACCACCAACUUAAAUAGAAGAAAUGUGGGGGAAUCCAGCCGUCAAAGAAAAAAAAUACAAUCUCCAGAACAAAUAGAUAAAAACAUAAUAAACGAGCAAAAGCAGCUAAUCAGCACAAAACUAGUAAACUGAUUGGGAGGCCUAAUCGGAAGAUUAAGAGAAAAGAUGAGCAAUUCACUCAAGACGCACAAUAGGGAACCCAACAGAUGCAAAAUACACAAAGAGCAAUCUCGGGCACCCCAAAAUAAAAGCAAAGCACUCCAAGAACCACAUCUAAGCCAAGUAAUGAUUAACAAACACCAAAUAAAACAACCCAUAAUCCAACAACCCACGAAAUCAACGAGUCUAAUAUAAGCAAGCCAGAUGCUAAUUGUCACAAACCCCAUUACCAUAAACAGACGCCACCCGAAGUUCAAAGAUCUAAACAACGUUGAUUGAAUAAAACCUGAGAACCCAAGAACACCCGUCUCUCUAAGCCAACCCCAACAACAUACUAACACUCGAGGAGUUGCAGAAUUAUCAAAACCCUAGAAAUUAACGUACCUCAAUUAAACCCCCUAAAUCUCGAGACACCCACUUCAAUUAUCACACUCAAGCACCAAACCCAAUUAUCAGCCCUACACUUUGUUCGGGCGAAGAUUUCUCCGGAAAGAGCUCCUCGGCUCUUAGCACAACUCCCCAAGGGAUUGGCACUUUGGAUAUAUAGUCGGGCUCUUGCUUGCUGAUGUGCUGCAAGAAGAGGAUAAAGUUAGUUUUGAAAGGUGCCUUUGUAGGGCCUUAGGUGUAUACAUUGAGGCUCGCAAUCAAAACUAAUUGAGUGCUAGGCGUGCCACUGCUAUCUCAGUAUAACAGAUGUAUAAUAAGUGUAUUUAGUCGAUUACUUUCGCCCCAAGUUACUCGGACUUCUUGUUAUCAAAGGAUUGUCGUGGAUGGGUUAAGUCCACAUUAAGUUCUUUUUCUUGCCUUGUGACCAAGGACUUUCAGUUCAUAGUCUUGUAUGUUCAAGUGAGGGGAGUCAAUAUCCCCUUAAGUCACCUACUCGAUUCUUGAUUGGUUUUAAAUGAAGGCAUAUUCAUUAAGGUGACCAAAUCCGGGCACAAAUGAGACUCUUAAAGUAGGAAAACAGAUGGAUAUAACUUGAAUACAUAUUAGAGAAUACAUUAAGCAGUAGAUCUAUUAACUUAUAAGACAAACAAAGAGCUUUGAGCAAGAUUUCACCUUGUCGGGCAAGGUUGAACUUCUUGCAAUCACUUCUCUUUUGAGUUUACAAGGUUUAUAUGCUAAGAAUGGAUGGAUGGUAAACAAGUUUACACGAGAUAAUCGAUGCUACGCCACUAAGGGUGAUAGCAGAGCUUCUAAACUAGACAAAAGAUGGCUUUUGUGGGGGAUGAUCCUGAAAAGGAUUGAGAUCUGGGCUGAUUACAGCUUAUAGAUGCAAAUCUAGCUUGAGAGCAGAGUUUGUAUGUUUGUUUGUUUGAUUGGUUGAGUAUCCUUGUCUCUGAGGCCUCUUCCUCCUUUUAUAGGUAGAUUAGCCCGACUGCAGUAGCUUUACUCUUGCUCGAAAGUUGUUGAAGGGUAGCGAGUCAUCAGCUUUUUACUUGUAUUGCCAUCGAAAAGUGUUUUUUGGCUGAUUGUGAGUUAGUCCCCAUCAUUUGACACUUAAAUCAUAGGCACAUCGCCUAUACAUUAAUCAGAAUGCGCCAACUUGUCUAUGGGCCUGAUACUGAGCUUCAGGCAGGUAUUCCUUUAAUUGGUGUUUUUGGGCUUCCUUAUACUUACAGCCUAAAGUUCAAAUAUUAACCCAAAUAGUGCCCCCUUUAAUCAUUGUUAAGGUUGCAAUCCCAGGAGCUAAUAAUGAUUAAAUAGUCGUCGCUCAUUAAACAACCGUCGCACGCAUCCACUCGGAACUUGUGCCUUUUUAAAGCAACCGUUGGUUUAUCUGAAGCCCUUUGCACUACCCCACGAACUCCUCCGCUAAGUAAUCACUUAUUAUAUAAUUCCUCCUUAAUCUCAUCAGCAAAGUAUUUUAACCACUUCGAGCCUUCGAAUUCUCAGAAACUCCAGUGCGCUCUUAUCUUCGCAGCUCUUCAGUCAUUCCCCCCUUAAUUUCAAAUUUUCUUCUAUCUUCCUCUCAAAGUCCUAAGUGGCACCCAUAGUUGCCCGAAUUCAGUCUCUUCGCGAGAUUGGUGAAGGGAUUUCCACCAUGCACCGUUCUUUUGAUGACCUUCAUUACCCUCGAGCGAGCCUGCAUACUGAAAUCUUCUUUGAGGAGGAAAUAGUGCACUCUUUGGGGCCUGCAUAGACUUCUCAUUUAUUGGCUUUUGCAACAUCCUCAGAAAGGUGCACUACGUCCAGCUUUUGUUUCAAGACUCAUAUGGCUUUUGUGAAUAGCCAGGUAGCCUUAAUCACACCGGUAGAUUCCUCUUAUGAAUAUAAAGCAAUAUUUCCUUGCACUGGUAUCCACAAGCCCAAACUUCCCCAUAGCUUUUGGUUUCUUGAUCACUUUAUCAUCAUAGGUGUAUGCUUCGGGGUCAAUUACCAUGACAAUGUCAAGGACUUUGGUGAGACUUGUGGACGAAGGCUCUGUUAUGGAAGCCAGGAUUACAUAAGUGUCUUCUUCAAUUAAGAGUUUGGAGGAGCAACCAUCUGUACGAAACAACUUUACAAGAAGAAUUGAGGAAGCAAAGAAAGUAAAUGUUGAAGUUGAAGAUGCCGAAGUUCAGUUAGUCAUUCUAGGAUAGCUACCUUAGCCAAUGAUGUAAAACUAUUGUUGAUCCUUAUGUAACUUCAACAUGAAAUAAAAAAAGACUUUCUUAAUCCAUCUUAGCUUGCAUUUCUUCUUUUAAAACUUAACUACGAUGGGCAAAUAAGCUGACUUUAAACCACUUGUAAUGUUUAUACUUCUUCAAUAUAGCAACUCCUAACAUCCCACAAGGUUGGGUGAUAUUUCUUCAAAAACUUGGCAUUAACUGGAUGCUUAUGCGAACUUCCUUCCAAAUCUGCCAAGUAAUAUCCCCUUUUGUCUAGUAUUUGGUUAAUAAUGAAAGGACCCUCCCAAGUCGGACUCCACUUCCCAAAGCCUCUAACUUGAGCUUCUAAAGGCCGAAUUGCCUUCCAUACUAACUCUUAUUUCUUGAAGUUUUUCAAUUUCACCUUUUUAUUGUAUGCUUGGGCAACAGCUCUCUUCCCUUCUUGAAUUUUACCUAGGGCUUCAAUUCGGGCUACAUCUAGAUCUUCUAUUCCUUGACACAUAGCCUGAAUAUAUUCUUCAUUAUGCAACCUAAAUUGAUUUUGAAUCCUAACAGAACCCACAUUUAUCUCCAUGGGGAGCACAUCAUCCUGCCUGAAGGUCAAAGCAUAAGGAGUAGUUCCAGUGCCCUCUUGGAGGUUCUGUAAGCCCAUAAAGUAUCUCCCAACUUCUCAUGCCAUUUUUCUAGACUAUCUGCCACCAUCAUUUUGAUAAUGUUCACCAAGACUUUGUUACUGGCUUCUGUUUGACCAUUUGACUGGGGUAGUAAGGACUAGAUUGGAUCAUCUUAAUCUUGAACUUACUUGCAAAUUCUUCUACUUCCUUUGAAAUAAAAGACGGUCCGCAUUCUAUAACAAUUGUCUUGGGUACCCCAUAUCUGUGUAAGAUCUUGGUUUCAAUGAAGUUCUUGACGGCGGUUGCAGUUAAGGUCUUCACUGUUGAAGCUUCUACCCAUUUGGUGAAGUAGUCUAUUGCCACAAUUAUGAACGUGUGCUCUUUGCUAGAAGUUGGAUGAAUUUGCCCGAUGAACUCCAUUGCCCAUCUUCUGAAGGGCCAAGGCUUGACCAUGGGGUUUAAGGGUAUUGAAGGCACAUGUUAGAGAGGUCCAUGUCUUUGGCAUUCUUCGCACCCUCAGGCAUAAACUUUGCAAUCUUUCUCCAUCUCUGGCCAGAAAUAGCCAUAUUCCUAAGUAGCCACCUCAUAUUGGUUCCCGCCUGAUGUGCUUCAUAGAUCCCUUCAUGUACUUUGGCCAUUACCCUCAUUGAUUCUUCCUAGCCUAAGCAUUUCAACAUUAGUCCAUCUGGAGUCUUUCUUAGUAUAUUUCCCCCCACAAAAUGUACUUAGUUGCUUGUUGUCUAUUCUUCUUACUUGUGCAGAAUGAUGGAUCUUUUAAAUACUGAAUAAUAGGUGUUCUCCAAUCUCUAACCUCCACCUCUUCAAUCAUUACAUCUAGGUUGAAUCCCCUUUCAAAGAUAAAAGGGAGAUUUCUUUUCUGAACCUCUAUGUCCCCUUUAUACUUUCUUUCUUGGAUCAACGCUCCAGAAGCCAAUUGUGCCAUCUCAUUAGCAACUGCAUUCGAUCUUCUCGGGAUAUGGUUGACUGAUAUCUCAGUGCCCCAAUAGCUUAAUAGUUAUGUAGAUGCCAAAUAGUAACUUGCCAUGAUAAUGUGUCUGCACUUGUACUCUUCAUUUAGUUGAUUGAUCACCAACUCUGAAUCACCAAAUACUUCAACUUCAGUUGCCCCUAACUCUAUCAAGAUCUCCAGACCAAUUAUCAAUGCCUCGUAUUCUGCCCAGUUGUUAGUAGUCUCUUGAUAGUCUAGGAGGAAUGAAUAAAAAUGGUAAGCACCCUUAGGAUCAAUGAUAACAAUCCCGGCUCCUGCGACAGUUUGGGUGCAAGAACCAUCAAAAUACAGUUUCCAAUGAGUGAUCUAGAGACUAGCUAUUCUUUUUAUCUCUUGCCGGAUCCAUUUUUCUUUGCCCUAGAAGGUUUUGCUUGAUAGGAUCCACACACUGGCUACCUCAAGAGUUCCCAAGAUAUUGAUAAUCUCAUCUUGGGAUUCUUGGUGCUCAACCAAGAAGUUUGCAAUUGCUUGCCCCUUGAUCGCUCUAUGAGGCACAUACUGAAAGCUAAACUCUGAAAACACUAGAAUCCAUUUUCCAAUCCUCCCAGCUAUCAUUGGUUUUGACAGCAUAUAUUUGAUUACGUCAGUCCUAGCAAUAAUGUGGAUGUGGCAAGGUAACAUGUAAUGCCUUAGCUUGCAUGCCGUGAAGUAUAGAGCCAGGCACAACUUCUCCACUGGUGUAUAUCUUGUCUCUACUUCAGUAAGGAUUCCACUGAGGUAGUAGAUUGCUUGUUCUUUUUUGCCUUCAUUUUUCUAAGCCAACAAGCUUCCCAUUGAUUUCUCAGAAGCAGAAAUAUAAAGCUUUAAAAGUUUCCUCCUCUGAGGUGGCAUGAUCACUGAUGGAGAGGCCAAGUAAGCCUUUAUACUGUCGAAAGCCUCUUGAUGUGGUGGGCCCUACUCAAAUUCUUCUUUGUUUUUCAAUUUUAGCAAAGGAGUUAGCGGCUGAAUCUUGCCCACCAACUUAGCGAUGAAUCUCCUUAAGAAGUUGAUUUUUCCUAGUAGCCUCUGUAAUUGUACUUUAUUGGUGGGAGGAGGUGAUUCUAUGAUUGCCCGAGCUUUUUCUUGUCAACCUCCACACCUCUUUGAUGAACAAGGAAUCCCAAGAAGUUGCAAGACCUUACUCUAAAAGCACAUUUCUUUGGAUUCAUUUUUAGCUUAUGGAUUCAGUCUUAGACUUUACCAUGAUGUUAGCAAUGUACACUUCCAUGGUAUGGCUAAUCAAGUCAUGAAAAAUGGCAUUCAUUGCUCUUUGAUAGGUCGCUUCAGCAUUUUUUAGCCCAAAUGGCAUCACUACAUAUUCAUAUGCUCCAACAUGAUCUGGGCAUCUGAAAGCUAUUUUGUGUAUAUCUUCUUUAGUCAUUUUUAUCUAAUUAUAACCGGCAUUUCCUUUCAUGAAAGAUAAGACUUUGUGUUUGGCAACUGCAUUUAUGAAUAAGUCAGCCAUAGGCAUUGGAUAUUCAUCUUUAGGCGUGGCUCCAUUAAUGUUCCUAUAGUCAACACAACAUCGAAUCGCCUUAGUUAUAGCUUUUAAUACAAGUACAAUGUUGGCCAAUCACUCGACAUAUUUGGCAGGCCUAAUAAAUCCAGCCUUUACUAGCCUUUCAAUCUCUUCCUUGACCUUUUCCUCGAUCUUCUUUGACAUUCUCCGUGGUGCUUGCUUGACAGGUUUAUACCCCUCCUUAAUAGGCAUUCUAUGUUCUACUAAGGUUGAAUCUAAACCUGGCAUUUCAAUGUAAUGCCAAGCAAAACAGUCUUUGAACUCAUGCAGAAAGCUAACUACAUUUGCCCGAUCCUCCGUUUCUAAUAAGCCACUGAUCUGGAUAGGCCUUGGAUCUUCCUUAGUUCCCAAAUCAAUGGUCUCCAAUGGGUCUUUUACUUCUGAUUAUGGCUUGUUAGGCUCUGCGCACAAGAAUUCAACUAACUUUGGACUCUCGGGCAAGUCUUCUGGCCCGUCCAGGUCAUAUAUACAUUCAGCUAUUUGUAUGGCCGCUUCCAACUCCUUUCCAAAAAACUCUUAUCCGCUCUGGCUGCUUGAGGCUUCCUCCUGGUGCUUCUUGGCCAAGCUCUCCCUUUCUUGCUUUCUCUCUCUUCCAUACACCAACAGUCUUUUGAUUAAGAACCUGACUGCAACUACUUGAUCCUUUUUUCUUUGUUUUAACAUUACUGGUGUUGGGGAGUUGGGACAAUAUAAGGUCGGUCCCAUUCUUCCCUUGUAAGGAACAACCCCUGUUCCAAAAGCUUUUGGGCUGUCACUUUAGUCGGGCGGCCGUUCUUAUCAGCUCCUAAGCACUGGAGAAUCCCAAUGCUAGGAUUGUAAAAAUUGGCUUCUGCCACAUUGGCAGUGGGAAGGAAUGGCUGUGACUCGGCCUCCACCAUUUCCCAAAAUCCAGGUCUCAUAUCUCAUUCUUCGUGGUAAACUGCCACUUGUUGAUGCAUGGUGAAUGGCACUGAGAAACUUUGAUAAAUCCAAUCUCGACCCAAUAAAGCUCCAUAUGUGGAAGUACUAUCCACAACGAAGAAAGCUAACAUGAUCUGCUUGAAACCUAAGUCAACCUCAAAAGGCAAUAUCUCAUGAGUUUUGGUGAUGGCUCUAGAGAAACUGGAAACAGUUAAGUCCAUAGGGAUGAGAUCUUCCUUACUUCUACAUGCCCUCUUCAUCUGCUUGAAAAGCAACACAUUGACUGUGACUCCUCCAUCAAUCAAAACCCUUUUGAAGGGCACUCCCUCCAGAUAAGCAGUUACAUAAAUGGGCUUGAGAUGGUUGGCCAAUCUCCAAGGUUUAUGAGGCAGCGGGGACUUUUAACGAGUUCAUGUGGGUUUUAUAUUGCCUCUAGACUCUCCUAAUCAUAGAGGCUCCCAUUUCUUUAACAGGCUUCUUAUCAUUUCCGACCACAUAUCAUUUUCGCCCAAGUUGGGCAGGUUUCUUCAUUGUGACUGGAUUCAACAUUCUCCCCUUAACUCUGACAUCUCCACCAGCAUAGCUUGGUUGGGGUGGCCUCACAUCCACCCAUCUUGGCACAUUGACCUCUUUGUCCUUCACCUCUUCAGAAGCUUAGUAAUUUCUGAACACUUUAGAAAAAUCCUUUGGUUAGGAGUCUCAUCCUAACCUUUGGAAAACAUUUCUAGAAGUCUCUUUCUCAGCUGACUGCAUGACAUUUCUACGGGCUUCCUGCUUUUCUUUCUCUUUUCUCUUGAUCAGCUCCUGAUCAAUAAUGGCUCCUGACGCUGAGACUUCCAGCUCACACUCACAUUGGCAUCUACUGCACAAUACCACUCCUUUGAUUAUGGUCGCUUUGGGUUUCUCGGGCACCUUUAUGGCUCAUUCAGUUGGCCUAUCAGCUUGCCUCCGUUCUGCUUUCACAUCCCAGGUAGCUUUUCUUUUCCCAUUCUCAGCCCAUGUAAGGUUGAUCAUGUUUAUUGGGACAUCUAGGAAGGGGUUAGUGUCAAUCAUUAUGUUGGCCUACCGUUUAUCCAAUAACAACUUUCCCUUUGCUAUAAGGUCUUGUAUCCAAUCCCUGAACUGGACACAUUUGGUUAUGGAGUGAUUGAAAGUGUAAUGCAACUUGCAAUACUUUUUCUCUCUCAGCUCUUCAGGCUUGGGCAGCUUUUUGGCCCUGUCGGGCACGAUCACCCUUGCUCCAACCAACUCCUCAUAGUUGGUUAAGUCAAAGGAAUAACUCUGGUACUUGGGGGAUUCAUAGGGACAAAUCCACCAUCGUUUAUGACUACUUUCUGGUCCUUCACUAGCUCGACUAACCCUUUUACAGUCAAAGGUUUGAAGGAGGCAGUCAUCUCCGUCGCGCACACAUCCAUUCUCUCUCCUUCAUGGCCAUUAUUUUCUUCUGGUUCUCCUUCAAACUCCACUUGGUGAAUAAUAGCUUUGCUUUUAUAGAAAUAAGGCACAUUAGACAAAUGAUUUACUUAUUGUUCCUCCACCAACAACUUCUCAUACUUGGUGACCACAAUUACCAACUUCUGCAGCUCAUUGAACUGCAUGUCAUAAAACUUCUUCCUUAAAGGUAAUCUCAACGCCUUCUGAGCGAUGGAUAUGAGUUGUGCAUGAUUUAUAUGGAAUUGGCACCUCAUCCUCGUCCUUUUGAACCUCAUCAUGAAGUUUUUUGUAGACUCAUGCUCGUACUGCUUCACCUCCACAAGGUCAUUGAUAGACAUUUCGGGCUCGACCCUAUAAAACUGCUCAUGGAAGGCCAUCUCCAUUUUCCCCAAUUGGCGAUAGAAUUAUGGGGCAACAAAGAAUACUACUGAGAUGCUAAACCCAUCAAGGAGUUCCCAAACAAUCUCAGCUUGUAGUUGGGAUUGUCUUCGAAUGCUACACAGUGAUUAGAGAACUUGAAAAUGCGAUCUCUGGAAAACACAUUACCAUCUUCUCCGCUCAAUGUUGGGAAUACAGGUAUCUUGAAGUUGACUGGAAAAAGGGUUAUGCUCGUCAACGUACAGGAUAGGGCUUCUGAUAAGUGAUCCUAAACAGCGGGUGAGUUUGUGGUUGAGCAUUCCGGGCCACCAUCCUCCUUAACUCGGCUAACUCAUCUCUGAGAUGUUGGUGAGCUGUAUUAUCAGGAAGAGUAUGAGGGGGUUCCCAUUUUGGGCUAUGAUCAUUUCCCGAGAAAAGCUCUUUUCUUGGAUCGGGCUUCCCCCUCCCUUACUGGCCAAUGAUGGGGGCCUAUAAGGAAGAGGUUUAUCUGGUUUAGUAGGCCCGCAUUUUCCACUGGAUUCCCCGAUCAACUGGGGCAUCCCAUACUUCGUUCUUUCUUGACCGCCCUGCCCCCUAUUAUUAAGUGGAAAUAGUGAGGGGUCUGGCAACUCUGCUUCUAAAAUUUCUUCCAACAUUGGCCCACUGGUGCCAUAUUCUUCCUUGUUUUUAUCCUUACCAUUCUUAUCCUCGAGUAAAGGAAAGAAUGGAAUAACUGGUUCUUAUUCGGGGCUUGCUCUCCUCACAUAACCAUUUUUUGGAGUAGAAUACUUUAGAUCUAGUUGUCUCUGCAAACUCCCUAUUAAAGAACAAAGUAUGCUGACUUCUCCCCUGGUUUCUAGGGAAAUAUUCUCCAUACCCCUUAACAUUUACACCAUGGUGGCUUGCAAGUCUUCAUUGGUUACCAUUCCCCCCGACAUCUCAGAUGAGGUCAGGUUUCCCAAAACAGCUGGUCCUUGUAAGGAGGAAACGUUCUCUGUGCGGUCUGCCAUGUUUGAUUUUGGUAAAGACUGGGGUAGCCUGUACUCUGUGUUCCACUUGAAGGUUUUCUCCUUCCUUAUUCUUCUUGGCAUACAAUACUAAUGUGAUCCUACCAGGCAUGCCAAAACUAUGUUCGGGCGAAGAUUUCUCCAGAGAGGGCUCAUCGGCUCUCAACACAACUCCCUAAGAGAUUGACACUUUGGAUGUAUAGUCGGGCUUUUGCUUGCUGAUGUGCUGCAAGAAGAUGAUAGAGUUAGUUUUGAAAUGUGCCUUUGUAGGGCCUUAGGUGUAGGCCUUGAGGCUCGCAAUCAAAACUAACUGAGUGCUAGGCGUGCCACUACUAUCUCAGUAUAGCAUAUGUAGAAUAAGUGUAUUUAGUCGAUUACUUACGUCCCAAGUUACUCGGACUUCUUGUUAUCAAAGGAUUGUCGUGGAUGGGUUAAGUCCACAUUAAGUUCUUUUUCUUACCUUGUGACCAAGGACUUUCAGUUCAUAGUCUUGUAUGUUCGAGUAAGGGGAGUCCAGAUCCCCUUAAGUCAUCUACUCGGUUCUUGAUUGGUUUUAAAUGAAGGCAUAUUCUUUAAGGUGAUCAGAUCCGGGCACAAAUGAGACUCUUAAAGUAGGAAAACAUAUAGAUAUAACUUGAAUACAUACUAUAGAAUACAUUAAGCAGUAGAUCUAUUAACUUAUAAAACAAAAAAAGAGAUUUGAGCAAGAUUUCACCUUGUCGGGCGAGGUUGAACUUCUUGCAAUCACUUCUCUUUUGAGUUUACAGGGUUUAUAUGCUAAGAAGGGAUGAAUGGUAAACAAGUUUACACAAGAGAAUCGAUACUAUGCCACUAGGGGUGAUAGCAGAGCUUCUAAACUAGACAAAAGAUGGCUUUUGUGGGGGAUGAUCCUGAAAAGGAUUGAGAUCUGGGCUGAUUACAGCUUUUAGAUGCAAAUCUGGCUUGAGAGCAGAGUUUGUAUGUUUGUUUGUUUGAUUAGUUGAGUGUCCUUGUCUUUGGGCCCUCUUCCUCCUUUUAUAGGCAGAUUAGCCCGACUACAGUAGCUUUACUCUUGCCCGAAAGCUAUUGAAGAAUAGUGAGUCAUCAACUUUUUACUUGUAUUGCCACCGAAAAGUGUUUUUUGGCUGAUUGUGAGUUAGUCCCCAUCACUUGAUACUUAAAUCAUAGGCACGUGGCCUAUGCAUUAAUGGGAAGGCACCAACUUGUCUCUGGGCCUGGUACUAGGCUUCGGGUACGUCUUCCUUUAAUUGGUAUUAUUGGGCUUCCUCAUACUUGCAGCCCAAAGUUCAAAUAUUAACCCAAACACACUUAUUGAAUUCUAAUACACCUAAAGAACUUUUAAUUAACCCAUCUAAUAAUUUUUUCUUGCUAAAAUCAACUUUCCCUAUCUUUUGGACGAAUUCGAUGCAAAACACCCAUGAAAUCCCCCCCCCCCCAAGGAGCUAGCUCCUAAGAGGCGGGGGGAGGGGGGAAUACUAAAGCCGUCAUUUCCUCUCACGCUUGAGUGCCGUCUAUUACUACCAUGAAUUGAUGGUUUUUUUAUUUUUUAUUUUUUUCAAUUGUUUAUAUAAAAACUUUUGACAUAUAGCUAAAAAUACAUGUAAAUAAAUUCAAUUGCCAUUAAAUAUAAAAACCCAUAAGUCAACCAAUAAGCAUGUGAAGAUGACGAACCCUAAACUUUGAAAUUACAAAUUCAAAACCCACCUUUAUUUCCAGUAGUCUAUGGCCAUGAGGAAUUCAAUGCUUUUCUUUUUUUCUCUCACCCAAUACCUUUUAUUUCCUUUUCAGUUAAUACAAUUUUUGAUAUUAUCUCAAAUUAAAAAUUAAAAGAAAAUUAUGCUAGUAUCCAGUUGGGAUUUGGGAUUUUGCUGCUUUUCUCUCAAGGGUUCUAAUUCCAAACUUUAGCUUCAAGGCUUUCGCGUUAUUUAAGAAAGGACUUUUUACUUUUUUCUUUUUCUUUUAACAAACGAUUUAUCUCCAUUAAGGGUGUAGCGGAGAGAGCUAAGUUCCGUAAUAGGUUAGCCAUAAUAAUGUAGUUCAAAUUCGUUUUUGAUGAGAAUCAAACCUAAGACCUCUUACUUACAAGUGAAGUGGAAUACCACUAGACUGUAGUAUUAAGUGGCUAUUUAAGAGAUGACUUAUAUACUUUAGCUAAAACCUUUGUUAGUUUUCCCUAUAUAAAAUAGGUUUUUUUAUAGCCAAAAUGGUCUCUAAGAUAUGCAUAACUCCUCACUUUGGUCCCUAAGAUUUGAAAUCAAUAGAAGUGGUCCUUAAGAUUGUCCACCAUCAAUCAUUUUAGUCUUUCCGCGAAAAAUUAUGUUAAAUAAGGAUCAAAAUGACAAAAAUACCCUCAAUUUAACAAACAAUAGGACAAAAUGAUUUGACAAAAAAUUGAGGGUAUUUUUGUCAUUUGUUCUUAUUUAAUGGAGAUUUUUCAUGGAAUAACCAAAAUGAUUGAUGAUGGACAAUCUUAGGGAUCACUUCUAUUGAUUUCAAAUCUCAAGGACCAAAGUGAGGAGUUAUGCAAAUCUCGGAGACUGUUUUGGCUAAAAAGCCUAUAAAAUAUGAUGAGAUUUUAAUUUUUAAAAGAAGGAAGAAAACAUCUUAUUUCUUCAUGGCCUAAGAUCUUUCAGUUCCUUUGUUUGUCUUGUGGUGAUAAUAAAAGGAGGAAGAAGUAGAUUUAAGAGUCAUGUUCAUGACAAUUUCAUUAAAAUAAAAACAAAACCUUUUCUUAAAAAAAAAAAAAAAAAGAGAGAGCUAAUUAAUAGCCUUGUGUUUGUAUAAACUCAUGAUGAUUCAGGACUUAUAAGCCAGGUCUGCUUUGUAUGGUACUGUCAUGGUAUCGAAUAUGUUGUAACUGCACAGAUGCAAAGCUUGCUUUGGUUUGAGUUUGUUGAGUUCUAUCUGUAGCUUGGUGAGGUGUGUUGGCAAUGGCUUACACAACGUGAACCAUGCAAGUGCAGAUGGAAAACCUGGUAAUAUGGUUUACUUGUUUAGGGUUUCACAAAGUAUAAAGGUGAAUCGUUAUAUAGGCAGUUCUUCCCUGAAUCUUUAGAAGCAUAAUAUCAUCGGGCAUCCAUUCUUUGUCAGCUAUGUAGGUACAUUGUAAAUAAUUACCAUUCUAACGGAAUAAUUUUUGUUUCGUUGAAGACUACUUUAGCAUAUGUCAUUUUCUCUAUUUAAAGUUUUGGAGAAUAUUAGAGUGUUACCUGGCAAUUAUUGAAUGUAUCAAAUUUAUGGAAAAAAAAACUUGCAUAAAUCGAUUUAUACAUUGAGGUUUUAAAACUUCAAAAUCAUCAUCCAUUGGUAAAAAAGAGAUUGUUUUUCUCUAUUAAGUGUGGGUUUAUUGAUAAACUUUAGUUUUAAUGUUAAUUUCAUCUUAUACUUGAUGGUAAUUAUGCGAUAGGUAAAAAGACAAUUUCCAUUUACAAUUUAAGUUAGGUGUAGAGAGAGGUUAUGUGGGUUCAAAUAAAAUUUUUCAAUUGUUCUUAGCACUCCAAAAAUCUCAUUUGACAUUCCAAACUUUUUAAAAUUAAAAAGAAAAAACAUUUCCCUUUUUUAAUUCAACAAUGAAAAUUAACUGUGUUAGAUAUGAAGUUAAAUUGAGGGACUGGUGUUAAAAAUUAGAAAGGGGACACAAAAAAAAAAAAAACACGAAAUAGGCCCGUGGCCUAUCUAUUGAAUCUGGCUUCAAGUUUUUGUCUCUAAGUUCUAAUGUUGUUCAAUUACUCCAAUUUCAUGAGAGCCACAAGUGAGAGGUGAACUUAUCUUCACCAUUUUUCAGUUGAGGUGAGGAUUGUGUGACUUGUCUUACAAUUUUUUUAUUUUUUAUUUUUCAUAUACCAACGACACCACAACUACAAGGCGGCUGCUUCAUCUCUCUCUCAUGGAUACGUCGGCAGCCGAUGACCACUCCGACGAACCCUUGACCCCAGUAGGUCGGCUCCUUCUCCAACCCGAAAUGAACCAAAUAAUCCACUGUGCCAUGGGAUUCAAAAACUCCAUAGACAUUGACGCCGUAAAGUCUCACCUCAAAACCUCCCUUCUCCUCUCCCACCCAAGAUUCUCAAGCCUCAUGCUCCGCGACUCCCGCGGCCUCCAGCACUGGCACAAUGCCCCCUACGUUGACCUCGACCGCCACAUCAUUGUCAUCCAGAACCCCGUCACCACAUCUCCCGUCGAUCACGAGACCGCAGUUAACGAAUACUUGGCCGACCUCUCCACAAGCUCUACUAGACUGAGCGCGAACAAACCCCUCUGGGAACUUCACCUCCUCAUGGCCCACAACUGCGGCGUCUUCCGAAUCCACCACGCAUUGGGAGACGGGGUUUCGGUCAUGUCCCUAUUCUUGGAGAGUUUCAGGACGAGAGGCUCAGAUGGAAAUGAAGAAAAGAUUUUGGGUCGUGGAAGGAGGAAGAGAGUGAAUGGUGAAAAGGGAUGGUGGGGUUUGUUGAUUGGGUAUGUGGGGACGUUGUGGUUUAGCUUGGUGUUUUUGGUGGAGCAUGCGAUGAGGAGCUUGUGGCUUUGUGACCAGAAAACAGCGAUAAGUGGCGGCGAGGGAGUUGAGCUCUGGCCUAGGAAGCUGGCCACGGCUAGGUUUCGGCUUCAGGACAUGAAGCUCGUCAAGAAAGCUGUUCCGAAUGCGGUAAGUGACUUAUUAAUUCUUCUGUGUUUAUUGGUUUGUUUCAGAAAUAGAAUAAUGUAUAUUAUACUUGUUCAUAGCUUGAACCUUCAAGAUUCAAAUUGACGCAUGACAUACAACAUAAAUACCAACUAAUUAUAUGGGGUAAAAAUCUCCUAAUCUGUGUCAAAUAUUUUCAGAAAUCUUUUUCCCUGUAAAAAACCCCUAAUUGGAUUAGUUUUAAUUGAAGAGAAAAUUUUCAGCAUGUUGGGAACAUAGUCUGAUAUAUCAAGUGUCAUAAUCAGUGGCGGAGCCAGAAAUUCUGUUAAGGAGAAUCAAUCUUAAGUGACUAUAAAAUUAUGAUUAAUUGAGCUUAUAAGUGAAAAUUACUUAAGAAAUGAUCAUGAGUAUGAACUUAUUUAGCAUAAAAAAAAUGUUUUAAGUUUCCAACAUUGAUAUCAUGAUUUAAUUAAUUACAUUAUAACAGAUGAUGCUUUAUAACAAUGGCGGAAAACAAUCAUGCAUAUACACCUUGGUGCGAAUUCGAAUAAAAAUAAUUGGACUCAAUUAUGAGCAAAUUGCAUUUGUGAGGAGCGUCAACUAUAAAUAUAAAAGCCAAGCUACAUCAUUAUAGCACAUAUAAAUACAACAUUUCCGGAUCGUGAGAAGAGUCAUAUGACCCUCCUAGGCUUUAACUGGCUCUGCCAAUAGUCAUAAUACAAGCGACUGGAAUUUUUUUUUAAGUAUCCAAUCACUUGCAUUUUGACACUUGAUGUACCGGAUCGUAUUCAUGGUACAUUGAAAAAUCUCUUCUAACUAAACAGCAAACAAUCAACCUCAUUGAAUUUUGGGUUUUACUGAAAUCAUCAUUACGUUUUCUUUUGAUUUUUUUUCUUUUCUGUUUGGGCGUGCUAUCCACACACCCAUUUUAACAUCUUACACACCCUUGUUAGUUUAUAUUUAAUCUUCUUCAAUUCAUUCGAUUAGACAACCAAAAGUUGAGAACAUUGUAUAUGAGGUAAAAAGGAAUGUGUGAAUAACACCACCCAAAUAUUUAAGAAAAGGGCAAAAUUUCUUUUGAUUCAUUCAAUUGUUUUCUUUUCAUAAAAAAAUUUAAUUAAAUGCAUAAGUAACUAUGGUUUGUUAAAUAGAUAUGUGACAUGAUUCUUGAGGGAGAUGGAGGUAACUGUGACCUUGAGUUAGGGGGUUGAGGGGGGUGGGGUAACUGUCACCUUGAGUUAGCGGGUUGAGCGAAAAUAGACUCGAUAGAGUUUGAGUUCGAGUUGAGAAGCACUUCAAAUAUAAUACUAAAAGACGAGAGCUGGCUUGAAAAGCACUUCAAAUGAGCUCUGGUUUUUUGAGACCCUAAUGUCAACCCAGCAAAGAGAUUGAAUACAACUUAAAAUAUAGACAAUCAAGUCGAAAGUUUUAUACACGUCUAAAGUUGAACAUUUUUCCCUUUUAUUUUAGAAAGGAAAAAACAGAAGGUUUGGACUUUGUAUAUGUGAAGAAAUGAAACAUUUACAUAUUUGGCAUUUGCAUAUUUGGUUGUAUCUCUUCGAUGAUUAAAGGGAAAAAAAAAUAUUAGAUGGUAGUUUAACAUUGUCAUGUGACAUAAUUCGUUCAUUUUAUUGGUCAGAAUAAAGUUUAUUUUUUCUAAAAAAGGUUUCUUAACUAAUAAGGAAUUCUCACAGGGUUUUGACUACAAACUUUAUGGGCUAUAAGUUAUGAUUUUAGUCCCCGUAUUUGUGGCAAAAUAAUUACAUUUUGGCUCCUAUAGUUUCAAUUUUUAUGACCUAAUCUUGUAUUUUACUAAUUGUUACAUUUAAGACAAUAACUUAUGAAAAAAAUUUGAUUUACACCCUCAACUUUUGUCGUCCUGUACUCUUUUUGCUAUGUUUAUGUCCCUUGAUUUAUUUUUGAUUUAUUCAAUCUUGUGGCUAAAAACAAAAGCAAGAAUACAUGAUAAGUGAGAGUUUGAAAAUUAUUUCCAAACUUAAUUCCAUCAUGUUUUCGUUGAAAAUGUGUUAUGUCACCCGCAAGGUAAUUAUGACGAAAAAGUUGAGAUGAAAUUAAAUUGUCUUUGAAUUACAACCAUUAAUAAAUUGUAAAGAUUGAAUAGAGACAACCACAUCAAGUGGUCCAAUGGUAAGGGCAUAGGCUUGACGUCCUAAUAAACAAAAAAUAUGAGAGGUUCUGUGCUUGAUGCUCCAAGUUGGUGAGACUAUUUGACCCUGGUCACGAGCAAGGUGAAAUUCUUUAUAGCCUUUCUGAAUUCAGAAGUGAUGGAUAACCAUGGUUUGCCAUUAGUUGUUCUUCUUUUUACAAAAGAAAGAAAUAGAGACAAUUGAAACUACAUUGACCGAAAUGGAACUUCACUCAACCACUAAAAGCAUGAUUUGGCUAUCACGCAGACCAUCAACGAUGUUCUUGUUGGCGUGGUUUCGUCAGGGCUGUCAAGGUACCUAGAUCACCAAACACCAAAUGGUAAUUAAUGUCAUUCUUGAAUCUGUUCUAGUGCUUGUGCUUCCCAUUUGAAAUAGAUCAAGUAUCAAUGGCAAUCACGAUAACCAAGUUAUAGCUAAACUUAAUUGUCCAGCUCUGCAUGACGGAAUUCGAAUUACAGGCCUAGCUAUGGUCAAUUUAAGAAAGCAACCUGGAUUGCAGGUUCGUCGUGAUUUAUAAACUUUCAUUUAUAUUAUAGGGUAAAAGAUUGUUUACUACCUCAUGUUUCGUGGUUUUCAACAUUUAGUACAUCAAGUUUUUUUCAUCUCAGAUUCAUAUCUAAAGUGUAAAUUUUGGGACAGUCUCAUACAUCCGUUAGUCAAACUGUUAAAUCUUUCGUUAAUUGUGACGUGGCGCUCAUGUGAACAAUGAUUGGGCGCCAUGUGUCAUCCACGUUUUUUUUCUCUUCUUCUUCUUCUCCUUCCUCCGAAUCUGGGGAAGUUUUUUUUUUCUUCUUCUUCUUCCUCCUUCCUUCCUCAUCUUCUUCUUCUUCCUCCUCCCCGAAUUUGGACCUUUUUUUUUUUUUCUUCUUUCUCCUUCUUCCUCUGACUGCAACUUUUUUUUUCUUCCUCCUUCUCCUUCUUCCUGAAGAAGAAGAAGAAGAAGAAGAGAAGAAAUUUAUAAAAAAAAAGUUGCAGUCGGAGGAAGAAGGAGAAGGAGGAAGAAAUAAAAAAUAAAAAAUAAAAGUUGUAGGAAGAAGAAGGAGGAAGAAGAAGUGGAUGACAUGUGACGCCCAGUCAUUGUCUACAUGGGCGUCACGUCACAAUUAACGGUAGAUUUAACAGUUUGACUAACGGAUGUAUGAGACUGUCCCAAAAUUUACACUUUUGGUAUGAAUCUGAGACGAAAAAAACUUGAUGUAUUAAAUGUUGAAAAUCACGAAACAUGAGGAUAGUAAAUAGUCUUUUACCCUAUAUUAUAUAUAAUUGGUUGUUUUAAGAACUUCUAUAUGGUUCUUGCUAUAUUUUUUCUUUCUAAUUUUUCAGGCGAAUCCUAACUUACUGAUGCAUAACUGAGUUUUGGUAUAUAUUUUCAGGAGGCCUACUCACAAUUUUCCCAAAACUAACAAAUUAAUAAGCAUACGAAACACAAGAAAAUUAAUUGCAUAAACGGCACCUGGACCUUUUUAACUUUCAUACAAUUACCACGUAAACUAACCACUCCGAUUCAAACAAGUUUCAUCCGCAAUUCUGCCAUAUGUGAUCGCGUGACUUGCACGAUGAUUCCUUUUUCUUAGUUCAGAGUUCAACCACCAGCUUCGUCCAAACAAACUAAUUUUUAGAUACACAUAUCCCAGAGUUGAAACUUGAAAGCAUAGGGAAAUGUUAGGUUAGGCUUAUGAGAUGCUGCAGUAAGAUUUUGAUAGUCAGUGAGAUGCAUGUUAGGUUAGGUUUGUGCUUGUUGAUGAGUUUGCAGGAAGUGGUCCGGAAUGGCUGAGGUUUAUUUGGGGGGGGGGGGGGGGGAAUAGCUUAAUUCCCGCGCAUAUGUUCUAGCAUGCAAGUCUCUUGAUCAUAUUUGACGGAAUUGUACACGGAAAAUUAUUAGAUGAAGGUUCAAUAUUAUUAUCAAAUGAUUUUAAGUAUGUUAGUUGUAUCUACAACAGCUACAAACCCGUAGUACAGAAGUUACUUUGUAUCUAUAAUUAAUUAAGACGAGAAGACUUAGCAUAAAACAAACCACCACGACCAAAUGAAACAAGGAACUCCCCCAGAAAAAUAAAUACAACAACAACAACAACAAAGCCUUUUCCCACUAAGUGGGGUCGGCUAUAUGAAUCCUAGAACGCCAUUGCGCUCGGUUUUGUGUCAUGUCCUCCGUUAGAUCCAAGUACUCAAGUCUUUUCUUAGGGUCUCUUCCAAAGUUUUCCUAGGUCUUCCUCUACCCCUUCGGCCCUGAACCUCUGUCCCGUAGUCACAUUUUCGAACCGGAGCGUCAGUAGGCCUUCUUUGCACAUGUCCAAACCACCGGAACCAAUUUUCUCUCAUAUUUCCUUCAAUUUUGGCUACUCCUACUUUACCUCGGAUAUCCUCAUUCCCAAUCUUAUCCUUUCUCGUGUGCCCAUACAUCCCACGAAGCAUCCUCAUCUCUGCUACACCCAUUUUGUGUACGUGUUGAUGCUUCACCGCCCAACAUUCUGUGCCAUACAACAUCGCUGGCCUUAUUGCCGUCCUAUAAAAUUUUCCCUUGAGCUUAAGUGGCCUACGACAGUCACACAACACGCCGGAUGAACUCUUACACUUCAUCCAUCCAGCUUGUAUUCUAUGGUUGAGAUAUCCAUCUAAUUCUCCAUUCUCUUGCAAGAUAGAUCCUAGGUAGCGAAAACGGUCACUUUUUGUGAUCUUCGCUAGAUUGCUCCGGUUAUUAGUGUGGAUAAGUAUAUAAAUGGAUAGAGAUGGGAAAGCAAACACAAGAUGUACGUGGUUCACCCAGAUUGGCUACGUUCACGGAAUAGAGGAGUUCUCAUUAAUUGUGAAGGGUUUACACAAGUACAUAGGUUCAAGCUCUCCUUUAGUGAGUACAAGUGAAUGAUUUAGUACAAAUGACAUUAGGAAAUAUUGUGGGAGAAUGAUCUCGUAACCACGAAACUUCUAAGUACCGGAGUGUGGUAUCGUCUUGACUUGCCUUAUCUGUCUCAUAGGUAGAUGUGGCAUCUUCUCUGGAAGUACUCUUCCUCCCUCUAGGGGUGGUAUCUGUAACUGGUGGAGAUGCACAAGGUAAUGUAUCAAUUUCACUUGAAGCUUACUUGUAGUUUCAGGCUUGGUCAAACGCGAUACAAACCAUGUAGUAGGAGUCCCCCAAGUCGCCGAGCUAGGGGAUUUGCUGAAAGAGGUGACAGACAAGGUAAGCAAUCAGAGCUUCGGCUGAUUGUUCACAUUCUCCCUAUCUUGCAGGCAGCAUGAAGGAUAAAGAGAAGAAAAAUGAGAAGAGAUGAUAUGGGAUACUUUUGCUUUUGAAGAAGUAACUUUCCAUAGGCUUAUUCUUGAACUGGGCUGGAGGGUUUUCUGGUUUCCUCAAGAGUAUAAGGCCGACUGAAGAAUUUGAGGGUCAAAACAAGUCCAGCAAAUCUAGAGUACGUUCGACCCUGCUGAUAUGAGAUACUUUUGCUUUUGACAGAGUAGUGGAUGUAUCGGCACGUGUGCUGUUACGCUUGUCUCCACAUGCUUCAUUGUAUCCUUCUCACUUGCCCUAUCUGUUUCUCAGGCAGAUGCGGUAUCUUCCCUGGAAGCAUAAGAUGUUGAAGAUGAGUACUCGAGAGCAAUGCCAGGUAAGUAAUCAGGUAAGGGGUUCCAGGCAGUCAGUUCCUGGCUGGAAGCUUGAUUCCAAGUGCUGACUGAUUGCUCUCUUUCUCCCUGUCUUGCAGGUAAGAACAAGGCCAAAGGAAAAGACAGGGAAAAAGCAUGAUAUGGGAUACUCUUGCUUUUAACCCUGAUGAUAUGAGAUAUUCUUGCUCUAGUAUAGCUUGUUUACAGAGGUAUUAUCGGGGGGAAAGAAAGCUGAAUAUUUCGAAAGGCUUCGUUAAGAGUGCCUUCUCAGAUAAGAGGAAGGGUUGAGCAUUUUUGCAGGUCUGCCUGUCCGUUGGGGAUGGAGGUCGACAUAUAUAGGAGUCUCCCUAACAUCAAGUAAUAAUGCUAUUCCUUUACCCUGCUUGGUCAUAGCACGGUAGUGGGAGCUGCCAGCUUCACAUGUUUUAACUCUGUCAGAGCACUUUGAAAAAGUGGUCUGUGGUAUCUGGAAAGUUGAUGUUGCGUGUGAAGAUUACAGACAAGCUUUAUCCAAGGAGAUCCAGCUCUUGAAGUUGGGAAAGUGGUGCCUCUUCGGUUUUCGAACAAGCAAUCUUGUCGGGGAUCUGGCUCUCAAGAUUCGAAGAACGAUGCCUCUUCGAUUUUUGAGAAAGCAAUCCUGCUAGGGGUCUGGCUCUCGAGAUUCGGAGAGCGGUGUCUCUUCGAUUUUUGAGAAAGUAAUCAUGUUGGGAGUCUGGCUCUCGAGAUUCGGAGGGCGGUGCCUCUUCGAUUUUGGAGCAAGCAAUCUUGUCGGGAGUGUUUUCUCGAAUGUGAGUAAAGGUUGGGCAUGUUUGCUAGUCUACCUUGCCACGAAGCACAGAGGUUGACACACAGGGACUCUCUAAUUAUCCAGCAGUGGUACUGUUCCUUUACCCUCUCUUCAAUUUUUGAGAAAGUAAUCAUGUUGGGAGUCUGGCUCUCGAGAUUCGGAGGGUGGUGCCUCUUCGAUUUUGGAGCAAGUAAUCUUGUCGGGAGUGUUUUCUCGAAUGUGAGUAAAGGUUGGGCAUGUUUGCUAGUCUACCUUGCCACGAAGCACAGAGGUUGACACACAGGGACUUUCCAAUUAUCCAGCAGUGGUACUGUUCCUUUACCCUCUCUUCGAUUUUUGAGAAAGUAAUCAUGUUGGGAGUCUGGCUCUCGAGAUUCGGAGGGCGGUGCCUCUUCGAUUUUGGAGCAAGCAAUCUUGUUGGGAGUGUUUUCUCGAAUGUGAGUAAAGGUUGGGCAUGUUUGCUAGUCUACCUUGCCACGAAGCACAGAGGUUGACAUACAGGGACUCUCUAAUUAUCCAGCAGUGGUACUGUUCCUUUACCCUCUCUUCAAUUUUUGAGAAAGUAAUCAUGUUGGGAGUCUGGCUCUCGAGAUUCGGAGGGUGGUGCCUCUUCGAUUUUGGAGCAAGCAAUCUUGUUGGGAGUGUUUUCUCGAAUGUGAGUAAAGGUUGGGCAUGUUUGCUAGUCUACCUUGCCACGAAGCACAGAGGUUGACACACCGGGACUUUCCAAUUAUCCAGCAGUGGUACUGUUCCUUUACCCUUGUGGGUAAUAAUAUGGUAGCUAAACCUUCAAAAUUUAUGUGUCUAAACUUUGUUAGUGUUGUUUCUUUGCUAUUCUUUUACCCUUCUUGGUCAGAGCGAUGUAGUGGGAGCUGCAAGCUUCACGUGUCUCAACUUUGUCAGAGAACUUUGGCAAAGUUAUCUGUGGUACCCAUGAGCUACUGUUGCGUGUGGGAAGUGGGUGAUUGAACAGUACGAUUCAUGUGCUUUCUACUUCGCCAGAAAUCUUCGACAGAAUGCCCAUAAUUUCCGCAAAGCUGAGUGUGCGUGUGACAGGUGCUGACAAGGCUGGAAAAAGUAGGUGCCUCUUCGAUUUCUGAGAUCGGCCCUCGUGGUCUCUGAGCAGCCCAGCUUUUGAGAAAGCAAGCCUCUUCGAUUUCUGAGAUCGGCCUUCGUGGUCUUUGAGCAGCCCAGCUUUUGAGAAAGCAAACGCCUCUUCGAUUUCUGAGAUCGACCCUCGUGGUCUCUGAGCAGCCCAGCUUUUGAGAAAGCAAACGCCUCUUCGAUUUCUGAGCAGGCGCCUUUUCGAUUUCUGAAGCUUCCGUCGAGUGCAGAUUUUUAUAGGGGCUGACAUUAAGUUCCAAAGCACACUUGAAGUAAGCCUCCAUUCUUGCACUUCUAAGAUCUUGAUUUGUCCGACCUCUUCUCUCUUCAACACCUUUGAAAAUGUCUGGCCCCUCCGACCGUCGUUUUGACUUGAACCUUGUUGAAGAGGCAGCCCCGCCUUCUCCAGACAACAUAUGGCGCCCAUCCUUCGUCUCCCCUACUGGUCCUCUUACCGUUGGGGAUUCCGUGAUGAAGAAUGAUAUGACCGCUGCGGUGGUGGCCAGGAACCUUCUCACUCCCAAAGAUAACAGACUACUUUCCAAACGGUCUGAUGAGUUGGCUGUUAAGGAUUCUCUGGCUCUCAGUGUUCAGUGUGCAGGUUCUGUGUCUAAUAUGGCCCAACGCCUAUUUGCUCGAACCCGCCAAGUUGAAUCAUUGGCGGCUGAAGUGAUGAGUCUCAAACAGGAGAUUAGAGGGCUCAAGCAUGAGAAUAAACAGUUGCACCGGCUCGCACAUGACUAUGCUACAAACAUGAAGAGGAAGCUUGACCAGAUGAAGGAAUCUGAUGGUCAGGUUUUACUUGAUCAUCAGAGAUUUGUGGGUUUGUUCCAAAGGCAUUUAUUGCCUUCGUCUUCUGGGGCUGUACCGCGCGUAAUGAAGCUCCAAAUGAUCAACCUCUGAUGCCUCCUCCUUCUAGGGUUCUGUCCAGUACUGAGGCUCCGAAUGAUCCCCCUCCGGUGCCUUCUCUUUCUGGGGCUCUACCGACUGCUGAGACUUCUCCUAAGCAACCUUUGUGAAGGCUCCCUCUUGUUUGUUUAUUUUGACUCAUGUAUAUGUACAUAUUUGUAACUUAUCGGGGAUAUCAAUAAAUAAGCUUUCCUUCAUUUCAACGUAUUGUGUUAAAUACACCAAAGCCUUCUUCGCUAAGUUCUUUGAAUUUUCUUUUGUUGAAGCUUGUAUGUUGAAGCUUUGUGAGUGGAGCAUGUAGGUUGAGGUAGUGUUCCCUUAAUUUCCCGAGUGAGGAAAACUUCUCGGUUGGAGACUUGGAAAAUCCAAGUCACUGAGUGGGAUCGGCUAUAUGAAUCUUAGAACGCCAUUGUGCUCGUCCUGUGUCAUGUCCUCCGUUAGAUCCAAGUACUCUAAGUCUUUUCUUAGAGUCUCUCUUCCAAAGUUUUCCUAGGUCUUCCUCUACCCCUUCGGCCCUGAACCUCUGUCCCAUAGUCGCAUCUUCUAAUCGGAGCGUCAGUAGGCCUUCUUUGCACAUGUCCAAACCACCGUAACCGAUUUUCUCUCAUCUUUCCUUCAAUUUCGGCUACUCCUACUUUACCCCGGAUAUCCUCAUUCCUAAUCUUAUCCUUUCUCGUGUGCCCACACAUCCAACGAAGCAUCCUCAUCUCCGCUACACCCAUUUUGUGUACGUGUUGAUGCUUCACCGCCCAACAUUCUGUGCCAUACAGCAUCGCCGGCCUUAUUGCCGUCCUAUAAAAUUUUCCCUUGAGCUUCAGUGGCAUACGGCGGUCACACAACACGCCGGAUGCACUCUUCCACUUCAUCCAUCCAGCUUGUAUUCUAUGGUUGAGAUCUCCAUCUAAUUCUCCGUUCUUUUGCAAGAUAGAUCCUAGGUAACGAAAACGGUCGCUCUUUGGUAUUUCUUGAUCUCCGAUCCUCACCCCUAACUCGUUUUGGCCUCCAUUUGCACUGAACUUGCACUCCAUAUAUUCUGUCUUUGAUCGGCUUAGGCGAAGACCUUUAGAUUCCAACACUUCUCUCCAAAGGUUAAGCUUUGCAUUUACCCCUUCCUGAGUUUCAUCUAUCAACACUAUAUCGUCUGUUAAAAAGCAUACACCAAGGAAUAUCAUCUUGAAUAUGUCCUGUUAACUCAUCCAUUACCAACGCAAAAAGGUAAGGACUUAAGGAUGAGCCUUGAUGUAAUCCUACAGUUAUGGGAAAGCUUUCGGUUUGUCCUUCAUGAGUUCUUACGGCAGUCUUUGCUCCUUCAUACAUAUCCUUUAUAGCUUGGAUAUAUGCUACUCGUACUCCUUUCUUCUCUAAAAUCCUCCAAAGAAUGUCUCUUGGGACCCUAUCAUACGCUUUUUCCAAAUCUAUAAAAGACCAUGUGUAAAUCCUUUUUCCCAUCUCUAUAUCUUUCCAUCAAUCUUCGUAAGAGAUAGAUUGCCUCCAUGGUUGAGCGCCCUGGCAUGAACCCGAAUUGGUUGUCCGAAACCCGUGUCUCUUGCCUCAAUCUAUGCUCAAUGACUCUCUCCCAGAGCUUCAUUGUAUGACUCAUUAGCUUAAUACCCCUAUAGUUCAUGCAAUUUUGUACGUCGCCCUUAUUCUUGUAGAUAGGCACCAAAGUGCUCGUUCGCCACUCAUUUGGCAUCUUCUUCGUUUUCAAAAUCCUAUUGAAAAGGUCAGUGAGCCAUGUUAUAUACCUGUCUCUCCCAAAACUUUCCACACUUCGAUUGGUAUAUCGUCUGGGCCUACUGCUUUUCUAUGCUUCAUCUUCUUCAAAGCUACAACCACUUCUUCCUUCCGGAUUCUACGAUAAAAAGAGUAGUUUCUACACUCUUCUGAGUUACUCAACUCCCCUAAAGAAGCACUCCUUUCAUGUCCUUCAUUGAAAAGAUUAUGAAAAUAACCUUUCCAUCUGUCUUUAACCGCGUUCUCUGUAGCAAGAACCUUUCCAUCCUCAUCCUUGAUGCACCUCACUUGGUUUAGGUCCCUUGUCUUCUUUUCCCUUGCUCUAGCUAGUUUAUAGAUAUCCAACUCUCCUUCUUUGGUAUCUAGUCGCUUUAUACAUAUCGUCAUAAGCCGCUAACUUAGCUUCUCUCACAGCUUUCUUCGCCUCUUGCUUCGCUUUUCUAUACCUUUCACCAUUUUCAUCGGUCCUAUCCUUGUAUAAGGCUUUACAACAUUCCUUCUUAGCCUUCACCUUUGUUUGUACCUCCUCAUUCCACCACCAAGAUUCCUUUUGGUGUGGGGCAAAGCCCUUGGACUCUCCUAAUACCUCUUUUGCUACUUUUCGGAUACAACUAGCCAUGGAAUCCCACAUUUGGCUUAGCUUCCCCCUCUCUAUCCCACACACACUGGGUGAUUACUUUCUCUUUGAAAAUGGCUUGUUUUUUUUUCUUCUUUUAGAUUCCACCAUCUAGUCCUUGGGCACUUCCAAGUCUUGUUCUUUUUUCUCACUCUUUUGAUAUGUACAUCCAUCACCAACAAGCGAUGUUGAUUAGCCACGCUCUCUCCUGGUAUAACUUUGCAAUCCUUACAAGUUAUACGAUCCCCUUUCCUCAUUAGAAGAAAAUCUAUUUGUGUUUUUGACGACCCACUCUUGUAGGUGAUCACAUGUUCUUCUCUCUUCUUAAAGAAGGUGUUGGCUAAGAAGAGAUCAUAUGCCAUUGCAAAAUCCAAGAUAGCUUCCCCAUCCUCGUUUCUCUCCCCAAAACCAUGGCCACCAUGAAAACCUCCAUAGUUGCCUGUCUCCCUGCCCACGUGUCCAUUUAAAUCUCCUCCUAUAAAUAACUUCUCCGUCUGAGCAAUUCCUUGCACCAAGUCUCCAAGGUCUUCCCAAAAUUUCUCCUUCGAACUCGUAUCCAACCCUACUUGAGGUGCGUACGCACUAAUCACAUUGAUAAGUUCUUGUCCUAUUACAAUCUUGAUUGCCAUGAUUCUAUCUCCUACCCUCUUGACAUCUACAACAUCUUGUGUCAAGGUCUUGUCCACGAUGAUGCCAACACCGUUUCUCGUUCUAUUUGUGCCCGAAUACCAUAGUUUAAACCCUGAGUUUUCUAGAUCCUUUGCCUUACUACCAACCCACUUAGUUUCUUGUAGGCACAUAAUAUUUAUCCUUCUCCUCACCAUAACUUCUACUACUUCCAUAGAUUUUCCCGUCAAGGUUCCUAUAUUCCACGUUCCUAAACGCAUUUUGCUCUCUUGAACUCUACCCUUCUGUCCUAGCUUCUUCACCCUUCCCCGUCUAAUAGGAUCAAAGUACUUCUUUUGUGUGUCCCGUGUAAAGUUGAUAGGAGCAUAUGCUCCCAAACAACUUUGAGUGGAGUCGUUCGAAAAGAAGUUUCUAUAGCCCCCUUGCUCAUUUAACACUGCAUCCGGGUGCCGAUGGAGAUACAGCGACCCUUGCUCACUUAUCACUGUGCUCGGGCCACACAGCGCGCCACUUACGGGUGACGCCCUAGUUUUAGCGCGAUUUCGUUCUGGAUUCAUUUUCAUAAGGAUUUGACGUAAUCAUGGAGUGUCGGUUGUCGACUACCUGACGUCCUCCCCCUCCUCCUUUAUCCGGGCUUGGGACUGGCAAUGUAAGAUAAACUUACACGGCGGAGUUUCCCCCAGAAAAAUAAAUAAAUAAACAAAAUUAUGGAAUUGAAAACAACUUUAAACAGCUUUUAAUUUUUGACUUUUAGUUUUCAUUCUGUAUAUUUGUCACAUAUAUCUUCUGCCAUCCUUUGUCACUUUUUUAUCUCUCUCAUAAUCUCACGUAAACUUGCCCCUUAUCUCUAGCACAAAAUGAAAACUAAAACUUAAAGCCAAAAUCGUUAUCAAAUAAACCCUUAAUUUGUCAUGUUUUUCAACCCAACCCCAAAAACCUAGAUAAGCACCCUAAUUGUUGAGAAUGAAUCCCACAUUAAUGAGAUGAGGGACAUUGCUUGUGCUUAUAAGUUGUUGGGCUACUCCCAUAUUGCCAAUUGGUUUUAUGGUGGAACCUCAACCUUUUCAUCGUAUCAGAGCAGGUUGUCCCACGUAUGAAGCCCAACGGCCACACACGCUCCACGUCACCCCGUUGUGUUGUCCAUGUGUUAGGCUUAAAAAUUCGCCACAUGUGAAGGGGCAUGUUGAGAAUGAGUCCCACAUUUAUGGAAUGAGGGACCUUGCAUGGGCUUAUAAGUUGGUUUACUUCCCAUAUUGUCAAUUGGUUUUAUGGUGGAACCUCAACUUUCUUCAUGGUAUCAGAGCAGGUUGUCUCAUAUGUGAAGCUCAAUGGCCACACGUGCUUCACAUCACCCCGUUGUGUUGUCCACGUGUUAGGCUUGAAAAUUCACCACACGUGAGGAGGGGUGUGUUGAGAAUGAAUCCUACAUUGAUGAGAAGAAGGACCUUGCAUGUGCUCAUGAAUAAUUGGACUACUCCCCAUAUUACCAAUUUGUUUUUGGUGAAACCUCAACUUUCUUCACUUAUCAUCCCACGAAUAUAACCAGGUAUCCAAUUUGAUGGUAGUUGGUUGGAGAUAAUGAUUGUAUGAAUAUGAUCAGGUAUCCAAUUCGUGUUUGGAAAGCAACUCUGAAUCAAGCUGGGGUAACAAGUUCGGCAUGUUUCUCCUACCUAUUUAUUACCAUAAAAGCAGUGAUCUUGAUCCUCUAGUGUACCUCAAGAGAGCUAAGCUGGUUCUUGACAGGAAGAAACAAUCUCUAGAAGCUGAUUUUUCGUACAAAGUUGGAUGUUUUCUAAUCACCUACUUUGGAGCAAAGGUAAUCAACAUGUAUUUUUAAGAAAAAUCUGUUGUGCUUCUAACAUAAACGCUUCGACAAAAAAUGGUUAUGAGUAACAGUGUUUCCUACAAAUCAUUCCUAAAUGUGCCCCAAUAUUCAAAAAUGUAUAUAAAAAGAAAAUAGUUUCAUUCUACUGCUGCAGGUUGCUAGUUGGCUUCUUUACAAGAUGGUCUGCAAUACUAGCUUUACCAUUUCAAAUAUACUUGGCCCGCAAGAAGAAAUUGCAAUUGGGGGCAACCUUGUAACUUACCUUAAAGUGAAUACAUGCAGCCUACCCCAGGUAUAUAUAUGAUGCUAACCAAUUAGUAGGGAUACGCUAUCGAUCUUUGAACAAUGACAUAAUUAGAAAUGAGUAGCUCAAAUCAUAGAAUGACGUUGUGAUGGGGCGUUAUGUUACAUUCUAGAAAAUGCCAGAUGUAGCAAAUCAGAAGUAUCUGUAAUGUAACUGGAAUACUUUUGCUGGUUGGUAACGCAGGCACUUACAAUGCACAUGGUGAGCUAUGCUGAAAGAGCUGACCUGCAAAUCUUGGUGGCCAAAGAUAUCAUUCCGGAUCCAACAUUUCUCGCAAAAUGCUUUGAAGAGGCAUUGCUUGAUAUGAAGGAAGCAGCAUCCAGCCAUGAGUAAAACCUAGGAUAUGACCUCUCUAUAUUUUAUGGAAUGUGAUAUAAGAAUGUCAUUGGUAGGAACCUACGAAGGAAAGCAUGCAUCUUUCGUAAACCGAAACAAUUGAGGAUUUUAGUGUAAUCGGCCCAAUAUAUGAGUAGCCAAAUAUCUAUCGGUGGCUAAUCUAGCAAAAUCUAUCAUUUGACAAGAAGAAAAGAAAAUCCAUUUUAGCUUUUAGAACAAUAGACCAUCUCUUUAAUACUGUUGGAAAAUUUAAUCAAAACGAGUUAAAUCGUUUAAAUACAUUGAUGGGUUGUUAUGAUUCAUGAAUUAGGUUUUGAUGUUGGAUUAUAUGGCAUGUGCCACAUUAUAGCUGAUAGGAUUGGUUAGAGAUAAGGAUGACAUGUCAGCAUUUAUUUUAGCUAAAGUCAAUUAUACUAGCUAUAGUAGCUUAAUUAUUGUGUAAGCAAGAUAGUUACAGAGUAUAAGUGUAAGAAUUGAGAUCAUUUAUAAGAUACGAUUGAAUUGAAGCAAAUACAAAGAAACACUUUCUUCUUCACUAAGCUUUCUCCCUCUCUCUAGAUUUGAUUGUUUGAGGAGAAAUUGUGCAACAUUUGUCUUAAUAUGAAUAGAGAUGCAAUCGUUGACUCUUUAAGACACAACUAUAUAUUAUGAAGAGUCAUUUCCACACCUAGAUAAAGAUCUUAUCUCAUUGAGUCAUGAGUCAAUUACAUUCAGUCAUAUAAGUUCAUGUGAGUUUUGUCAUACAUAAAUUGAGUUUUUGAGAGAGUUCAGCAUACUUGUGGUCAAUGACGGAGCCAAAAAUUUAUCCUAAUAGGGUACAACAAAAGAAUAAUACUUGGCUACUCAAAUAAUGAGUAGGAGUUACUACUCAAAACAGUUCGAGACGAUUUCACAGACACCGGCAGAAUGGACGACGACUAUUGUGAUAACGAUGGUAAUUCAAAUAAGGGCCUAUACUCUACCCGUAACACCAGCAACCGCGCUGAUAGGUCUGCACUCAAAAAGUUAAGCGUGGAGGACUAUUACACAGAGAUUAGUUUUAGGUAUGUGAUGAGAGUGCAGCGGAUAAUUGAGCUCCAAUGUGAGGCUUUGGUUAGGGAGUUUAAGGUAAACCCUUUGAUUUGUGGGUUGGCUGGGACCGUUUCACUACGCUUCAUGGCAGGGACUAGGGUUUUUUAUGGUGAUUGGGGUGAGCAGCUUUUCAAGGACUCAGACACACCAGCAAGGUUUGUAGCCACUAUAAUAUUAUUUCUUCGAGAAUCUACCUGUUUGUUUUACUUGAAAUUUUCUUUUUGUAAUGGUAUUCGAUUUGAAUUUUGAGAGAAUUUAAUUUCAGGGAAAUUUGAGAGAUUGAGAAGAAAAAAAAAAUCAAUUCUUAGGAAUUUUGAGUGAAUUAAUUAUGACUUCUAAAGAAUUCACAUGAAUUGUCAGAGAAUUCUUUGCAUGGACCUAUAGAAUUCAGAAAGUUUGAUCAUGAAUUUCAAGAGUUUUGUAUGAAUUCUCAUGAAAUCAUAGUUAAUAUAUUAUCAAAAGGAAUACGGCAAAAUGCCAACCCAUUACUUCUUCUACCAUUCAAACCAAAGUCAACGUAUUACCGAACAAAGUAAAUACUUCAAGAUGUAAACACAUCUGAAAUAACCAAACUAAAGUCAAAUUAUAAUCAAACAAAUUAGAUACUCCAAGAUGUAAACAAGCUUGAAAUAAUCACAUUCACUUCAUAUUGUAUUUUAUUGAUUCAGAGCAUUCUUCUGGUGUCAUUUUCAAGAACUCUUUUUUCAUUCCCAAGAGAUAGAACCUUUAUUCAUUACUUAUUUGCUCCUUGGAUUCUAGGAUUUUGAAGCUUGAAUGGAUUCUCCAAGUCACCAGAGUUGGAGGUCUCUAAGUUCCAACACCAAGGAUGAUCUAGGAAAGAAGAUGAGUGACUAAAGAAGAAGAAAAUCUAGCAAUCAUCUUCCCUAGUGGCCAGCCUCCUAGAGAGAAAGAGAGAGCUUUAUGUUCUCUUAUCAUUCCUCAAAGCAACCCUAAUGAAGGAUGGAAUUCUAAUGUUCCUUAUUAAAGGGCUCACAAUUAAUAGAAGCCCUCUCAUUCCCUCUCUAACUCGACGUCGCUAAUCGUACGAUUAAGACACAUGCUUGUUUAGAAGGAGAAAACCUUACUCACUUCAACUGCACAAAGCAAAUAUAAUUUUAUUUCUCAAAUUAUCAUUCGAGGCUUUCUAGUACAAUAUUUAUAAUGGUUUUACAAAUUAAUACACCUCAAGUUACAAUUUCUAAAAUAACUUGACAAAUUCCAAUUUGACAAUAUUUCAAACUUAAAUAAGCUUUACAGAUCUAAUACGCAUGGACUGCCAAUUAUAAUAGACUAUGGAUGCUGCAUCAUUUUCAUCCAAAUCAACGUAGGCCAGAAACAAAAGUGACUCCAGUAGAAGGCAACCAUGAAGUCCCAACAAUAAAAUUUGUAACAGUAAAUUCAACAGCCUCGUCAACUCCUAUAACAUGAAAUCCAGGCCAUUGGACCCUUUUCCCCACCCCAGAACCCGGCCCCACAUUCGCGUACUUUGCAAAGUACAGUGUCCUAAGGCUGGAGCUCCCAGCCCCAUGCCACUCCACCCAGCCACUAGGUGCAAUGACAUCAUCAAUGUUGGAUUCUAUGACAACGAUUCUAGAGUAUUGCUUCCACGGCCUCCCCAGAUAUGAACUAUAUGUUGAAUAAGUGGCCAAGUGGCCAAGUGGACAACAAAACAAAACAACUUUCGGCUAAUAAACAAACCAAAAGAAAAAAAGGUGAAAGACAUCAUGAUGAGGAGGCAUCAUGAUUAUGUUUGUUGAAAAGAAAAAUUGAAGGUCAUGAUGAUGUUUUUGAAUUUUUUAUUGGGUGCUUUUGUAUUGAUGAAGUGAGCAUAUGGAAGUGAGAAAGAUAGAGGAAGAGUGCACCAUUUUUCUGUUUUAGUAGCCCAUCUUUGAGAGAGCAAAGAGAGCUGCAGAGAGCAGAAAACUGAGAGCAGAAAGAGAAGAAAGAAAGGUGAUUUUCUUUCUUAGUUGGUACUCACUCAAUCAAAGUUGUAUUUGUAUUAGCUUUGAGCUUUGUAUAGAGAGGAAAUUAUUCACUAUAUUUCCCUCUCUAUUUGUUUCUUUAGUGAGUGAGAGUUACUGGGUGUAUUAGGGUUUUAGGUUGUGAGAUUGCCAACACUUUGUAAACUCUCAUUCGGUUGAUAGUGGAUUAUUGGGUGAGCUCCUACUGCUCCGAGGACGUACUCCAGUUACACUGACUGUUGAGGAACCUCGUUAAAAUCUUGGUGUUCUUUAAUAUUUUGUUCUUGCAUUUCAUUUGGUAAAUUUCCUGUGGGUUAGCUUGAGUUGGUUCCAACAGGUUUGGUGCUAUCCUAGCACAACAAUUGGUAUCAGAGCACUGGUUGCUCUUGGGUACUAUCUAGUUGCCAAAGAUGUCAGACGGGCAAGAUGAAAAUCCUUUUGGAAGCAGCUCCGGGUUUGCAAGAACUACGGUGCAAAAUGCAAAGUUCGAAGUGGAAAAGUUUGAUGGCACAAACAACUUCGAGAUGUGGCAAUGUGAGGUCAAAGAUGUGUUGGCUCAACAAGAUCUACUUGCCGCUUUGGGAGAGAAGCCGGAAGUUAUGUCGAAGCCGGAAUGGGAGAAAUUAAAUUUGUGGGCUUGCUCUUCAAUUCGGUUGUGCCUUGCAAAAACUCAGAAGUAUUUUGUGAUGCGGGAGACGGUAGCAAGUGUGUUGUGGCAAAAAUUGGAAGACAAGUAUAUGAUGAAGAGUGCAGAGAAUCGGCUACACUUGAAGAAAAAGCUCUACCGCUUUCAAUACAAAGAAGGUACAAAAAUGAUUAGACACCUUGAUGUUUUUAAUAAGUUGAUUACCGACUUGUAAAUUUAGAUGAGGAUAUUAAGGAUGAAGAUAAGGCCUUAAUAUUGUUGAAUUCCUUGCCGGACUCUUAUGAGCAUUUUGUUACCACUAUUAUGCAUGGUAAAGAAACUGUGAAAUUUGAAGAUGUGUCAAAUGCCUUGAUGAAUUAUGAAAUGAGGCAUAGAGAUAAAAAUUAUGAUAGUACCUCUGAAGCUUUAUUUGUUAGAGGUAGAUCAUCGGAGAGGAGGUCAUCUUCUAGCAGGAAAAAAUCACAGUCUCGACCUAGAGGAAACUCUAAAGGUAGAAAACCUUUGGAAAGGGAUGAAUGUGCCUUUUGUCAUAAUAAGGGUCAUUGGAAGAAAGAUUGUCCUAAGUUGAAGACCAAAGGAAAAGAAAGUUCUAAAGCCAAUGUUGCUGAGGUUGAAACAGAUGUUUUUGAUUUUGCUUUAACCACUUCCUCAUCAUUUGAUUGUUCUACUAAAUAGGUGUUGGAUACGGGUUGUACUCAUCAUAUGACUCCUCACAAGGAUUGGUUUUCAAGCUUGAAAGAGUUUGAUGGUGGUGUUGUGUUCAUGGGAGAUGACAAUCCUUGCACAACAAAAGGGAUUGGUACAGUUCGUUUAAAGUUGCAUGAUGGCAUGGUUAAAGAGUUGACAGGUGUUCGGUAUGUACCGAAUUUGAAGAAAAAUCUUAUUUCUUUAGGUACUUUGGAAUCCAAGGGCUUCAUGUUUCAUUCAGAUGGACAGACAUUGAAAGUUACUUAUGGUGCACUUGUUGUGAUGAAAGCUCCUCGAUGUGGCCAUUUGUAUUUAUUGCAGGGAAGCAUUGUGACAAGUGAAGCAUCUGUAGUCUCUGAAAAUAUGGGCACAUCUGAUUCAGAUACUACUAGACUGUGGCAUAUGAGAUUAGGCCAUGCCGGUGAGAAAGCUCUACAAGGGCUUGUGAAAAAAUGUCUUUUAAAAUGUGCCACGACUUGUAAGCUUGAUUUCUGCGAGCAUUGUGUCUUGGGGAAGCAAACUAGAGUGAAGUUUGGUACUGCUGUACAUCAGACGAAGGGCAUUCUUGAUUAUGUGCAUUCGGAUGUUUGGGGUCCUACAAAGACUCCCUCUUUGAGUGGUAGACAUUGGUUCGUGACCUUUGUUGAUGAUUAUUCAAGAAGGUCUUAGGUCUACACUAUGAAGCACAAGAGUGAGGUGUUAAGCAUUUUCUUGGGUUGGAAGAAAAUGGUUGAGAACCAGACUGGGAGAAAGAUUAAGAUUUUGAGAUCGGAUAAUGGUGGUGAAUACACAUCCGACCCUUUCUUUAAAGUUUGCAAAGAGGAAGGAAUUGUGAGACAUUUUAGUGUUCGGGGAACUCCACAACAAAAUGGAGUUGCAGAAAGAUUGAAUCGAACCUUGCUUGAAAAGGUUAGAUGUAUGUUGUCUCAGUCGGGUUUAAGCAAGUCAUUUUGGGCAGAAGCAGUUAAUUAUGCAUGUCACAUCAUCAACCGGUUACCCUCAGCUGCUGUUCAGGGUAAGACACCAAUGGAGGUAUGGACUGGAAAACCUUCUUCUGAUUAUGACUAUAUCCGUAUUUUUGGUUCACCUGCUUAUUUUCAUGUGACUGAAAAUAAACUUGAUCCUAGAGCCAAAAAGGCUAUCUUUCUUGGUUUUAGUAGUGGUGUCAAAGGUUACAGGUUGUGGUGCCCAGAGAUGAAAAAACUUGUAAUCAGUAGAGAUGUGACAUUUGAUGAAGAAAGUAUGUUCAAGGACUCUGAGAAGAAUGUGAAAGAUGUCCAACAGGUGGAGCUUGAGAAAGUUGCCUCUGGUACUUCAAAUCCUAUUUCCGCUGAUGUCGAUGCCACUACAAGUGAAGAAGUUGGAGACCAUGAGGAUGUUGAAGAAGUUGAACUUGAAGAUUCUAUUCAAGUUGAAGAGGAAGUUUCACCUCAAGAGUCUAUUGCAAAGAACAGAGGAAAGAGACAAAUUACCAAGCCAGUUCGGUAUAGUGACUAUGUUGCUUUUGCUCUUCCUAAUAUCAUUGAUGAUAUUCCAUCCAAUUUCGAGGAAGUCAUUGAGAGUGAGGAGAAGAAGAGGUGGUGCAAUGUCAUGGGUGAUGAGAUGAAUUCUCUCUUGAAGAACAAGACUUGGGAGUUAGCUAAAUUGCCUAAGGGCAAGAAAGUUAUCGGUUGCAAAUGGGUGUAUGCCAAGAAGGAAGAUGCUGAUGAGAAAAGCAAUGUAAGAUUUAAAGCAAGAUUAGUUGCUAAAGGGUAUGCACAAAACGAGGGCAUUGACUACAAUGAAAUAUUUUCUCCGGUUGUAAAGCACUCCUCAAUUCGUAUUAUGUUAGCUCUUGUUGCACAAUAUGAUCUUGAGCUUGUGCAACUCGAUGUGAAGACGACUUUCCUACAUGGUGAUUUGAAUGAAGAGAUCUAUAUGUGUCAACCAGAUGGGUAUAUAGUGAAAGGGAAGGAAAAUUUGUUUUGCAAAUUGAAGAAAUCACUUUAUGCCUUGAAGCAAUCUCCAAGGCAAUGGUAUUUGAGGUUUGAUAAAUUUAUGAGAGGCCAAAAUUAUUCUAGAAGUCAAUAUGAUCAUUGUGUGUACUUCAAGAAGUUGCAAGAUGGGUCUUUCAUUUAUUUAUUGAUAUAUGUUGAUGAUAUAAGCAAAGAAGAUCCUUGGCAUGGAGAUCACUAGAAAUAGAGAGAAGGGUUUGGUCAGUUUGAAUCAAAGACAAUACCUUGAGAAGUUGAUUCGGAAGUUUGGAGUUCAUGAUUCAACCAAACCGGUUAGUACCCCUUUGGCUCCUCAUUUUAAAUUGAGUUCUCUACAGUGUCCUAAAACUGAUAAAGAGAAGCUACAAAUGAAAAAUAUACCAUAUGCAAAUUUGGUUGGUAGUUUGAUGUAUGCAAUGGUAUGCUCUAGACCGGAUAUUGCUCAUGCAGUUGGCAUGGUGAGUCGAUAUAUGCAUAAUCCAGGUAAAGAGCAUUGGCAAUCAGCUAAGUGGAUAUUGAGGUAUCUCCAUGGUACUCGAGAUGUUGGUUUAUGCUUUGAGAGGGAUGACUCUGGUAUUGGUCAUUUUGCAGUUGGUUAUGUUGAUUCAGAUUAUGCAGGUGAUCUGGAUGGAAGGAAGUCUACUACAGGCUAUGUGUUUACUAUGGCUAAAGGACCAGUUUGUUGGAGGUCCAUUUUGCAGUCGUCUGUUGCCUUGUCUACUACAGAGGCUGAAUAUAUGGCAGUUGCUGAAGCUAUAAAGGAGGUCAUUUGGAUACAUGAGCUGAUUAGAGAUUUAGGGGUUGAUCAGAAGCAUGUGGAGGUACAUUGUGAUAGUCAGAGUGCCAUUUAUUUGGCUAAGUAUCAGGUUCAUCAUGCGAGGACCAAGCAAAUAGAUGUGCGUUAUCACUUUGUUCGUGAAAUUGUUGGUGAAUGAUAAAUCAUUCUCCAGAAGAUUCCAACUAAAGACAACCCCGCUGAUAUGUUGACUAAGGUUGUUGGUGUAGCCAAGUUUGUUCACUGUUUGAACUUGGCUCACAUUAUGCCUAUAUAAAGAAGGUGUUGAGCAGUAGGAGUUUUGGAGCAUUUGACUCGGCAUGAGUUGUUCUCUUGCUAGUGUUUGGGAGUGAUGUUGUGUGUUAAUUGUGUUGGUUGGCUUAUCAUGGCGUUUUUCGGAACUUGGCCAAGGUGGAGAUUGUUGAAUAAGUGGCCAAGUGGACAACAAAACAAAACAACUUUCGGCUAAUAAACAAACCAAAAGAAAAAAAAGGUGAAAGACAUCAUGAUGAGGAGGCAUCAUGAUUAUGUUUGUUGAAAAGAAAAAUUGAAGGUCAGGAUGAUGUUUUUGAAUUUUUUAUUGGGUGCUUUUGUAUUGAUGAAGUGAGCAUACGGAAGUGAGAAAGAUAGAGGAAGAGUGCACCAUUUUUCUGUUUUAGUAGCCCAUCUUUGAGAGAGCAAAGAGAGCUGCAGAGAGCAGAAAACUAAGAGCAGAAAGAGAAGAAAGAAAUGUGAUUUUCUUUCUUUGAUGAGGUCGCACUUGGUGCGAUGGCAAGUGCCUUCGCCCAUGAGCGGUAGGUAUCGGGUUCGAGACUUGGGAGCAGUCUCUCCAUAAAUGGGGGUAAGGCUAGCCGACAUUCACCUCUUCCAGACCCUGCGUAAAGCGGGAGCCUUGUGCACUGGGUACGACCGUUGGUACUCACUCAAUCAAAGUUGUAUUUGUGUAUUAGCUUUGAGCUUUGUAUAGAGAGGAAAUUAUUCACUAUAUUUUCUUCUCUAUUUGUUUCUUUGGUGAGUGAGAGUUAUUGGGUGUAUUGGGGUUUUAGGUUGUGAGAUUGCCAACACUUUGUAAACUCCCAUUCGGUUGAUAGUGGAUUAUUGGGUGAGCUCCUACUGCUUCGAGGAUGUACUCCAGUUACACUGACUGUUGAGGAACCUCGUUAAAAUCUUGGUGUUCUUUAAUAUUUUGUUCUUGCAUUUCAUUUGGUAAAUUUCCUGUGGGUUAGCUUGAGUUGGUUCCAACGGGUUUGGUGCUAUCCUAGCACAACACUAUAGGAGUGCUUAACCAGAGAGAAGUCCAAGCUGGGUACGAUCCUACAGUUUUGGACCGAGAAUCCGGUUUUUUGUCCAGGGUCGGUCCUCCCGUUUGCCAGGAUUGCAUUGUAGCCCUUGUUCUUGCGAAGCACCAGGUUGCAACUCUGUAAAACGGCAGCGGCGUUGCCAAAGAUGAAGUCUAUGGUGCCGUAGAUGUCACAUUCUAUGUAGAAUUGACGGAAGGCGAGUGCAUAGAGAGUGUCUUGGUACCCAACAAUGCUGCAUCUGUAGAGAACUGAGUGAUCAGAAGCGAUGUAGAGAGCCAAGGCUUGUUCUCCUUGAGGGCCUGCUGUGUUUUGGAACCCUAUAUCCCUAGCAAUGAACCCAUCUCCUGUUAUGGCUGCCCAUGAAAUCCAAGAACAAGAUCGUCAUUUCAAAAAAAAAUUCAAAUAUCAGUAUACGUAUUAGUGUGUGCGUGUGUGUGUGUGUGUAUAUAUAUCUGAUUAGUAUCUAAACAAAACGAAACAUUGUCAUAACAUUUGGCGAAGAGGGAGAGAGAGAGAGAAAGAGUACGAACUGAAUGUAGCUGAGCCAGGCAUGGUGGCACCAUUAGCAACGCUAAAAUCCCCAGUAAUAAUAGUGGAAUCUUUUCCCUCUCCUAUCAACGUAAUACCAUCUUUGUUAGUGCGAAUCUUCUCCUCAUAAACUCCCGCCUUUACAUGAAUCACAAACCGACCCCCGGAAGCUGCGCCAAUGGCUUCUGAUACAGUUUUAUAGUCGCCGGAUCCAUCUUUAGCGACAACGGCAUUGGCUUUUAUGGUGGUUGCCUGAAGUAGUUUCCGGUCCCUGGGUGAUAUCCAUUUGGGAAACACUCCUUGUUUCUCAGUUUCUGCAUUAAUAUGGUGAUUUGAUAUACGGUUGACAAGAGCUAGUAGGUUACUUACCGACUCAGAGGCAUCGGCUAUACGUUUGCCGAUCUGAGAAAUAUUCUGCUUGAUGAUCAGCAGCGUAGUCUUUGCAAGUUUCCUGGAAAGUCAUGGCAGCACUGAGCCAUGUUUGGAUGUCAUGCUUGUAUUUUCUUGGAGAACUUUUGAGUGCUAAUAGGGAUUGGUCUAGCCGCUUCAAGGACAUGUUCAUGAGCUCUUCACAAUAGUCUGUAAAUACACACACACACGAAAAUAACGAGGCUGAGUAAAUAUUAAAGUAUGUAUGGUGAAAGUUUACGUAUAUUUUGUACAAGCAUAACUAAAGAGUGACAUUAUGUAGACACAAGAAAUUGACACGAUUAAUGACACUGUCUAAUAUAAUACAGCUGGAUCCUAAGCAUAUUGAUAGAACCUAUAUUAGAGAUUGUAUCUGCAAUGGUCAGUUUUGUGUCUAAAUAAUAACAUAGUUUAUAAAUAAAGAGUAAUAUGUUCUUGCCAGACAAAAGAUUAUGCAACACGACUAUAUGAAUUUGAGCCACACAGGCAGUAAUUAACUUGAUCAAUUGCUCAUAUUCAUAUAUAGUCACAACUACCAUAAAAAUAAAAUUAAAAAAAAAAUAGUUGUGACUACCACCUUUUUUCAGAGUUAUGAGCACGUUGAGCUUCAUGGGCUCCAAAGUGAUCAGUUCCCAACUUAAUUUGGGAGUUCAACAACAACAACAACAACAAAGCCUUUUCCCACUAAGUGGGGUCGGCUAUAUGAAUCCUAGAACGCCAUUGCGCUCGGUUUUGUGUCAUGUCCUCCGUUAGAUCCAAGUACUCUAAGUCUUUUCUUAGAGUCUCUUCCAAAGUUGUCCUAGGUCUUCCUCUACCCCUUCGGCCCUGAACCUCUGUCCCGUAGUCACAUCUUCGAACCGGAGCGUCAGUCGGCCUUCUUUGCACAUGUUCAAAAUCACCGGAGCCGAUUUUCUCUCAUCUUUCCUACAAUUUCGGCUACUCCUACUUUACCUCGGAUAUCCUCAUUCCCAAUCUUAUCCUUUCUCGUGUGCCCACACAUCCCACGAAGCAUCCUCAUCUCCGCUACACCCCAUUUUGUGUACGUGUUGAUGCUUCACCACCCAACAUUCUGUGCCAUACAACAUCGCUGGCCUUAUUGCCGUCCUAUAAAAUUUUCCCUUGAGCUUCAGUGGCCUACGACGGUCACACAACACGCCGGAUGCACUCUUUCCAUCCAGCUCGUAUUCUAUGGUUGAGAUCUCCAUCUAAUUCUCCGUUCUCUUGCAAGAUAGAUCCUAGGUAGCGAAAACGGUCGCUUUUUGUGAUCUUCGCUAGAUUGCUCCGGUCAUUAGUGUGGAUAAGUAUAUAAAUGGAUAGAGAUAGGAAAGCAAACACAAGAUGUACGUGGUUCACCCAGAUUGGCUACGUCCACGGAAUAGAAGAGUUCUCAUUAAUUGUGAAGGGUUUACACAAGUACAUAGGUUCAAGCUCUCCUUUAGUGAGUACAAGUGAAUGAUUUAGUACAAAUGACAUUAGGAAAUAUUGUGGGAGAAUGAUCUCGUAAUCACGAAACUUCUAAGUAUCGGAGUGUGGUGUCGUCUUGACUUGCCUUAUCUGUCUCAUAGGUAGAUGUGGCAUCUUCUCUGGAAGUACUCUUCCUCCAUCCAGGGGUGGUAUCUUUAACUGGUGGAGAUGCACAAGGUAAUGUAUCAAUUUCACUUGAAGCUUACUUGUAGUUUCAGGCUUGGUCAAGCGCGAUACAAACCAUGUAGUAGGAGUCCCCCAAGUCGCCGAGCUAGGGGGUCUGCUGAAAGAGGUGACAGACAAGGUAAGCAAUCAGAGCUCCGACUGAUUGUUCACCUUCUCCCCAUCUUGCAGCAGCAUGAAGGAUAAAGAGAAGAAAAAUGAGAAGAGAUGAUAUGAGAUACUUUUGCUUUUGAAGAAGUAACUUUCCACAGGCUUAUUCUUGAACUGAGCUGGAGGGUUUUCUGGUUUCCUCCAGAGUAUAAGGCCGACUGAAGAAUUUGAGGGUCAAAACAAGUCCAUCAAAUCUAGAGUACGUUCCACCCUGCUGAUAUGGGAUACUUUUGCUUUUGACAGAGUAAUGGAUGUAUCGGCACGUGUGCUGUUACGCUUGUCUCCACAUGCUUCCUUGUAUCCUUCGCACUUGCCCUAUCUGUUCCUCAAGCAGAUGCGGAAUCUUCCCUGGAAACAUAAGAUGUUGAAGAUGAGUACUCGAGAGCAAUGCCAGGUAAGUAAUCAGGUAAGGGGUUCCAGGCAGUCAGUUCCUGGCUGGAAGCUUGAUUCCAAGUGCUGACUGAUUGCUCUCUUUCUCCUUGUCUUGCAGGUAAAAACAAGGCCAAAAGGAAAAGACAGGGAAAAAGCAUGAUAUGGGAUACUCUUGCUUUUAACCCUGAUGAUAUGAGAUAUUCUUGCUCUAGUAUAGCUUGUUUGCAGAGGUAUUAUCGGGGGGAAAGAAAGCUGAAUAUUUCGAAAGGCUUCGUUGGGAGUGCCCUCUCAGAUAUGAUGAAGGGUUGAGCAUUUUUUGCAGGUCUGCCUGUCCGUUGGGGAUGGAGGUCGACAUAUAUAGGAGUCUCCCUAACAACAAGUAGUAAUGCUAUUCCUUUACCCUGCUUGGUCAUAGCACGGUAGUGGGAGCUGCCAGUUUCACAUGUUUUAACUCUGUCAGAGCACUUUGAAAAAGUGGUCUGUGGUAUCUGGCUCUCGAGAUUCGGAGAACGAUGCCUCUUCGAUUUUUGAGAAAGCAAUCAUGCUGGGGGUCUGGCUCUCGAGAUUCGGAGAGCAGUGUCUCUUCGAUUUUUGAGGAAGUAAUCAUGUUGGGAGUCUGGCUCUCGAGAUUCGGAGGGCGGUGCCUCUUCGAUUUUGGAGCAAGCAAUCUUGUUGGGAGUGUUGUCUCGAAUGUGAGUAAAGGUUGGGCAUGUUUGCUAGUCUACCUUGCCACGAAGCACAAAGGUUGACACACAGGGACUUUCCAAUUAUCCAGCAAUGGUACUGUUCCUUUACCCUCUCUUCGAUUUUGAGAAAGUAGUCAUGUUGGGAGUCUGGCUCUCGAGAUUCGGAGGACGGUGCCUCUUCGAUUUUGGAGCAAGCAAUCUUGUUGGGAGUGUUUUCUCUCGAAUGUGAGUAAAGGUUGGGCAUGUUUGCUAGUCUACCUUGCCACGAAGCACAGAGGUUGACACACACAGGGACUUUCCAAUUAUCCAGCAGUGGUACUGUUCCUUUACCCUUGUGGGUAAUAAUAUGGUAGCUAGACCUUCAAAAUUUAUGUGUCUAAACUUUGUUAGUGCUGUUUCUUUGCUAUUCUUUUACCUUUCUUGGUCAGAGCGAUGUAGUGGGAGCUGCAAGCUUCACGUGCUCAACUUUGGCAGAGAACUUUGGCAAAGUUAUCUGUGGUACCCAUGAGCUAUUGUUGCGUGUGGGAAGUGGGUGAUUGAACAGUAAGAUUCAUGUGCUUUCUACUUCACCAGAAGUCUUCGACAGAAUGCCCAUAAUUUCUGCAAAGCUGAGUGUGCGUGUGACAGGUGCUGACAAGGCUAGAAAAGUAGGUGCCUCUUCGAUUUCUGAGAUCGGCCCUCGUGGUCUCUGAGCAGCC
RNAcentral lists this long non-coding RNA (58396 nucleotides) under Malus domestica (apple). RNAcentral describes it as "long non-coding RNA (MDOM_LNC001449)". The record is from RNAcentral. Lineage: Eukaryota; Viridiplantae; Streptophyta; Magnoliopsida; Rosales; Rosaceae.